Molecule: long non-coding RNA, 44943 nt
Filed under: Eucalyptus grandis
Lineage: Eukaryota; Viridiplantae; Streptophyta; Magnoliopsida; Myrtales; Myrtaceae
Description: long non-coding RNA (EGRA_LNC003882)
Source: RNAcentral
UUGUGUGGUUAGAAAGAGAAAUAUCGCCAGCCUCACUUUUCUCCCCAACCCGGCCCCUCUUUCUUUCCUCUCUUCCUCAUGCCCUCAUGCCGGUCUUGCUUUGGCAGAAAAGAAACGUACAAACCAGAGGGGCAGAGCAUCGCAAGCGAGAUGGCAGUAUGAUCUGUGGGUCGGGGCUAGGCCGGCCAGCAAGCUGGCGAUGGCAGAAGCCAUGCGCGCUGGCCGGUGGCCCUCAAAAGAGGGAGAAGAUGAGCGAGAAAGGGGUUUUUUUUCGGAGAGGAGAUGGACAGAGAGCUUGAGAGAGAUCGAAGAGCUCGAGAGAACGGAGGGCGAGCCAGAGGGAGAGAGUGAGACCGAGAGAGCGUUUCGGCAUUUCCUGAGAUCCGCCCGUUGCUCAUCGUCCGAACCGGGUAAGUCUUCCGAACCGUUGGUGCUCCGUUUUAGGAGGUGUUGGACCGGAGCUCGCGACCGACCAUUUCGCGCGAGCUUCGGUCCCGCUGGUCCUUCGUUGAUUUUGUUGCGCGUUCUGGUAUGUUUCGGUAGGAACUUAGGGCUGUGUUUGAGUCUCGAUCACGUCGGAAAUCUCUCGUUCGAGUCGCGCACGUCAACUGUUUGCAGGGAUGCUUGAAUGAAGUCCGAGUAUUCUUAGUUGGUCUUGACCGAGCCUUAUCGUCCUUGAGUUCAUAUCCAUAUUAAAUUUGAUGCAAUCUGUCUCUGAGUUGGUCUGGAAUGUUGUUUGUGUGUCGAUUAUCGUUGCUUGGUCCGAACAAUAGCCCCGGACGAGCUUGGUCCUCCCUCUCGCUGGUGCAUUCUAUCUGUUUGAUGAAAUGUCAAAAUGAGAUUUGGAAAUGGUUUCUGCGAGGUUUGUUGCUGUGAUAUUGUCUUUGUUCGAGUUUGAGUCGCUUCCAUCGUGUUGUUUGCUCAUGCCGGUGUUAUUACACAAAUCGACGGAGUUUUAGUCAUACGAAAAUUUAGAGCUCAAAAAUCUAAUCUUUCGUCAGAAGCAUUCCGGCAACGGUGAUGAUCUCCGGUCAACUAGUGGCCGGCGGAGGUUCGGCGGUGGAAGGGUCGCCGGUCGUUCCGGGCUGCGUCGUUAUUUGGCUGAGUUUCGAUGAGGCCAUGUUUUGGGGAAGAGAAGGCUUCGGGCGUGCAGAGAGGAUGCACGAGGGAGAAGAAGACCAAAGGGGAGGAAGAAUAAUAAUAAAUAAAUAAAUAAAUAAAAAAGGAAAGGCAAGAGAAAACCGCAGCAAAAAUUAAAAAAAAAGAGAAAAGAAAUAAGAAGGGACAAAUCGGAGGAGAAGACGUUGGGACAUGGAGGGACGUUCUGCGAAGAAUGCAUAUAGCAAGAAAAAGACAAAACAGGGAUAACUCAAAAAGGAAAAAAAAAAAUAUAUAUAUAUAUAUUUAUUUAUCUUUUUUUUUCCAAUGGGCUUAAAUUUUGGGCUUCCUCUUGGAUUUUGGUAUUACGAAGGUAAUGCACUUCUACGGCACUUCGAUAUAAUAGCCGAUGAUGGUUAAUCAAUGGCAAUUCAAUGGCAAUUCAAUGUGCAUUGGUAUCCUGGAUUAUAUAAGGAAUCUCACGGAUCUUUGUGAUUAUCAAGUAUGUAUUGCCAUCACGGUUAGGCCCAUGAGGAGACCAUGGGUGAAAAGCAUGUUGGCAUCGAUUGGCAAUAAUUAGAGAUUUGGGUCAAAAUUUGUCGGUGCAAAGGAACAUCGGACUUGGAAUGAGGGGAAUUGGCCCAACGUGGUAGACUCACAUGUGAGGGGGAAAAUGUUGAGUGCUCAAGUGAGUGGUAUGAAAAUAAAGUAGUCCCAUAUUAGACGUCCAAAGUUAAAAGAAGCAAUAGAUAAUACCUAGUUAAGGAGGACCUUUCUUAUUUAUGAAGCCGGUCUAAUGAAAUGCCAUAAGAGGAACUCAAUCACUAAAUCGAUUCAUUAAAAUAAAUAAAUACACCCUCAUCUAUGUUACGCAUGUUAAUGGAUCUAAAAGCAGUCAUAAUAACAAUUUUUACUCGAUAAAUAAAAGAACUAUUUUGCCUCAUGUAUCAUUAAGAGGAUGAGAGAAAAGAGAUGGUCAUUGAAGAACGACAAUAAAAUUAAAAUGAAUAAAUAUCUGUGAAUCUUGCAUCGGUACCUAUUCUAAUUAAAAGGGCAGAAUGGCAUAAACAAUUUUUACUCGAUACCAGGGGAAAAGGAAUAGGAAAAAAUGUGUAAGCGCUCCAAUGCUUUCAGCCACUUUGUAUUUGACCAUUUCCAUUUAUUUCAACACCAAAUUAGAUUACAUAACAAUAAAUUAUGGAUACACGUUCAUCUUUGUAAAAAUGAGCUGUUACACUACUUAAGCCCAUUAUUAUGUUAGCCUUAGCACAUAUAUUAUUUAAGAAGGACUUCUUCUUUCCUUCUUCGUUAAUAACAAACGAGAAGGACCAAGAACAUUAUAAGGAAAGAACAGUGAACAUGCACGAGGAGAAGAAAGAAAGGAAAAACCUAUCCAAGGGAACUUGAUUGCCUAUGUCACAGGCAUUAAAUUUGACCAUAGUUAGACACCAAGUAUUAGAUCAAUCCAUGGAAUGGAUCAUCAUUAACAUUUGACUUGUUUGAGAUUAAUCAAUGAAAUAUACCAUUAAUGGUUGGCUUGUUAUUGUGAGUUGAUAUUGUUGAUUGAUCUUAUAUGUAAAAAGUUUCGUUGGAAAGAUAUUAUCCACUUUUGAUAUUUUACUUAUAUCCUAUACGAGAUUUUGGGUUGAGUUAUGAUAUCGAUUAAUAAUAAUCUGUAUAUAAAAGAUGUACUACUUAUUGGACUAUGAUUGCUCAUUUUAUUCAUCUUACUUGCUUUUCAAGUUUUUCAACUAACCGUAAGCAAGUAAAAUGAGAGCAUUUACAUUAUUGGGAUGACAUUUUGGAUAUUAUAUCUCAAAUGAACUCCUGAGUUUAGUUGUUAGAUUGACAUAUACCUAUUUUUUUGAUGGAUUAUAGAAACUCUAAUAUUAUAACCAGAUAACUCUUAAUCAUACAUAUGGAUGUAUAUUUCGAUAAUAGGUUGAUGGUAAUUAUGCUUAAGGUAGCGUUUUUUGAGUGAAAGGAUGGCCAUGUCAUUGCCCUUGCACUUGUAGAGUUGGGGUUGUGACAAUCCUCUAUUCUAGGACCGCAAGUCCUUCGGAUCUACAUUUAUAAUACUAGAAAAACCAAAUACAUUAAUUUUUAUUUAUGUUCCUGUGAAAUCCAUGUUUUCUCAAUUUGCAAGCUGUGAUGGUAUGCCUUGUUCCUUCAAAGGGCUGUUGACGGUGAGGGAACCCGCCUACAAUACUCUGCGAGAGCCCAUAAUGGGUAAAUGUUCCUGUAAUUGGGAUAGUGCAACAUGCAGUUCUUGUUGAAAACCCCAGUGAUUUCCUGCAAUGCCAAAGUUCAUGCUUAGAUCAUGUUGUUUGGUUGUAAGGCAAUUCUUACCGAAUCAGUUUCCCCUCUCAAUCAGUUUUCUUUUAUUUGCACUAGUUCCUGACGAUGUUUUGAGGAGUUGAACCAAUUGUUUGUAAGAUAAUAUGCGUGGACCAUAAUCAUCUCUACAUUUUCCUAGUUGCAUGGAUUAGUUCGCAGGAAAUUCUUUCCCAAGAUAUUGGUGGCGCGCACUCUUAUUUCCUGAGAUUUUAACCCUGUAUGAAAUCAACUUUCUGAAAGGUACAAACCUGUUGAGGAUAAUCACCGUCUUCCAUUUGAGAAUUGAUUAGCAGCUUUGCGGCAUGGUGCAGGGGAGUCGGAUCCCUCUCUGCCUGAUAGUAGAUGAACCAAAGUCAGAAACUUCACAUUGAAUAUUGAUUUUUUACUAUCACCAAAGAAUGUUUAAUGCCUUGGAGACCAAAACGACACAAUCAACUGACCUGCCCCGCGUGAAUCAGACCCAUCAUAGCCCAAGCGGUUUGCACCAGAUUUGAUCUGUUUCCUUCAAGCGGUACAUAUUCCUACAUCAACCCAUUUGGCAAACAGAAAAUUUAAGAUUUCCGUGUUGCCAGAAAAGCGUGCAACUAAAACAGCUAAAGCCAAACAUGCGGUGGAAGGUUCCUCUAGAAAUUACCUUCUUCGGGCAGGAAAGAUAGCUCUCUCCCCACCCGCCAUCCUGCAACUGUGUUCGUAGAAGAAAAGCGACUCCUUCGCGCAUCGCUGUGCAAUUGCUAUAUGUCUUACCAGCAGCCGCUAGUCCUCCAAGCGCAAACCAUGAGCCAUAUGUAAAACAAACUCCCCAGCACCCAUACCUGUAAGAAUUGCUCAGUUAGUCAGCUGUUUCUUUAAUUUAUCUGAAUUCUUCGGCAAUGCCCACUGGAAGAGGAACAUACCACGAGCCAUCUGGCUUUUGUACAUUCUCCAGAUACUUUACGGAAUUUGAUAUAAAAUCUGCAAUCUCCUUCUUCCUGUGCCCAGGAUACAACUUCCUGAGCAAAACUAAAGCUUGGAUAGCUGAGGACGUGCAUUCAACAUAUUCAUGCUCGAUGACAAUGUCCUCAAAGAACUCUGUCGGAUUUAGGAGCUGCAAGUGACAAAUGAUGAGGAAGAAGUCCCGCUAUAGUAAUUUAUGAACAAACAAACAUGUCUUAGUCCGUGAGGACCACCAAGGAAUUCCAAAAAAUUUAUCAAGUACUUACUUCUAGCCAAGCUGGAGCUCCUGCAGGCUCCCAUGCCGGCAAUCCACCAUUUUUACUCUGGAACAAGUGGCAUUCAUGGACGAUGUGAUGAUAUUGUAAAUAUAAUCAAACUCAACGAAAGAAUUAACUGGCAACGUGAUUUUGGGAUGCAUAAAGCAAACAAAGCUUAGCCAAUAUUUCUUGCUUGAUCAAAGAUUUUCUCAAGUCUUUCUCAAAAAAGAAAAACAAUGGUAUACUCACUUGUAGAGAAAGCAAAAUGUUGACAGCGUCAUACAAUUUCUCUGGCUCCAUCUUCUCACCAACAAUUUCAGGUGGCAUCAUUGAGAAAAGCAAGCAACACUGAAUAAACAGGGAAAAAUUCCGUGAGAAACUGAGCAAUUUAGGAUUGGAUUGAACCUGCAGAUACAGUGAAGGCAUUCGUUGGAGUAUUACCCUCAGACCUUCUGCAGUGCAAUCGGAGACUUGCCAACCGUGAUCUUGAUCCGAAAAUGUCCAGGAUCCUUUAGUAAUAUGACGGUGCAUGCUUUUGAAAUCACCAGAAGGAUUGUCCUUGACCUGGAAUAUUAUGAACAGAUCGAUGCACUUCAGUUUAUGCAAGGAAGCAAAAGAAACUAGCAAGAUGUUUGGAGAUAAGCGAUGCUCGCACAAUCAAAGAUCAAACCUGAGAUUUUUUUAUGAAGUCGUGUCCUCUAGCUAAUACCGGUGCUAUCUCCUCAGUCAUAUUACUGGCAAGCAAAGCUUGGAUGGCAAAGCCCGUGUCCCACUCUUGGCUACCAAAACUCUGCAUAUGAAUGAGCCAACCACCAAACUAAGCUUCCCUCUAGACGGUCACACUUUACUAAAUUAAUCUUCUCCUUAUUAUAAGAAUGCUUCCACCUUUCAAAUAUGCAGCAUAAGCACCUAUCAUUUCGAAUUAAGCCCAAUUCUGUCAUAGUUCCGUGACACUACUACUAACCUGCAUCUUCAUUCCAUCUUCGGCAACCCAAAGGUAAUCCGGUAUCCUAGCAAGAUGCUUCUUGAAAUAAUCACUGUCUGGGUCUUCUACCCAGCAAGCAAGCAUGCAUAAAACCUGUCCGAGUCCAAAGCAAAAGACAAAUUCUUAAUAAGGUUUUCCCACGAUGCAAGAAUUUUACACUUAAUGUGUCUUUCUCCUCAAAUUUAUUUAUUCAUUACCUUUUCUACACAUCCGAUUGUGAUAUAUCGACUGUUCUCAUCUUCGUAGUGAAUGUGUUUCAUCGUCACCUGAAGAGCCUUUUCUCUAAGUUUAUUAAACGGCCAACGGUUAAGAAGAGGCUCUGCAAAUAUGUAAAGACUAUCCCAGAUCAGAUCCUGUACUAGGGGAUGGGGAUAGUAGAGAUCCUCCUGCAACAACAAUUCGAGUCAUUUUGUUAAAAAUUUCUGACUCGUAAUCCAUCUGAUUCUAGAACGAUGUCUUGGACCUGUUAUGGAUACUUGCCUUGGCACAAAGAUGGCAGACUUUUCUCCAGCAAAUCGUGUCGUAGGGUUGAGUAUGAAGUUCUUCUCUCAACUGUUGAACAAGUGGUGUGAUGGGGCCGACGAAUCUUUUCCCAUACAAGUACGACAUGGGCAUGUACACCAUCCGACAGUAGCACCACAUCUUAGCUACAUCAUUCAAAACAGGACAUUCAGACAACAUAUCCAUAUAACUGAGGAGAAACGUAGUCACACGUAACAGAAGUUGAAGCUUUCUAUAUUUCAAGGUGAAUUCUGGAAGGGUGGCCAUUUCAAUAACAAGCCAAUGCCAUAUUCUUGUUUGUUCAGCAAAAUCACCGUGUUUUUCAAUUUGAAAAUAGUCCAAAAUUAUAUAUGCUAGACUACUAUAGAAUACCAUCAAGGACAAGAUCAAGAAAAUCUUCCAAAACAAACCUGGGUGCAUGGGCAGGAAUGAAGGCAAGAUCCAGAACUCAGGGGGCAUUGGGUUGGUUCCAGACCAAUCGAAAAGGCCGAAAAUCUACACAGAAUGUGACAAGACAACACACAUGCACAAGCACAAUGUCACAUAUCCAAUUCACCCAAACACCUGCGCAGAACAAUCUGGAGCACAAAUUUUGGUCAAUUACUGAAGGAAGAGUGAGAGAGUACCGAGAGCCAAGUCUUGCCCCAGGAGGGUAUGUAGGUGACCCCGCCACGGUCAAGAAUCCACUUCCUCGCCCGAGUACAAGCAUUGUCCUGGCCACCAUCAGGCCCUUCCCCGAGAAUGCGCAUGCAUAUGUAGCUCAGGGCCGUGCAGAACAUGGUGCUGUGACCUUCAAUGUGGAAGCCCCACCCACCAUCUCCAUUCUGCAACAAAAUUAAUGCAAAACACACAAACAGUUUCAAGACUAAGUCUUUCAAAGUUCCUCUGCUAUUUUCUCCAUCUGGGUGUCUUCCUUUUUGCGAAAAAAAGAGUAACCUGAUGGUUGUAGAGGUAGUGGAGAAUUUCUUUGCGGUGCUCGGCCGGGAAGACGGCGUUGAGGUGGCCGGUGAUGUAGACACACAUGACUAGGGGAGGGAGGAAGUAAAGAGGCCCGGCAAUCUCAGCAGGCCAGUGGCCAUCACUGGCCUGCAGUGCGGAGAAGAAGUGGACAGUCCUCCUCAGGGCGGUGGACGCUUUGUCGUACGUGAUCUCCUCGCCGUCCUCCACCCUCACCGGUGAGAUCGUCUGCUUGAACUGCUUCUCCCUCAGAAACUGCCCAGAAAUCAGGCACCAUGCAUCAGCUGUAGAUUGCCCAUUACUUCGUAUUGCCACACAUUAACAAAUUUUAAACUUAAUGACAAGCAACAACAGUGAAAUUCCAAUUGGCACUCUUUCUCAUUUUUAGAACACAAAUAAAAUUUUGGAUUAUGACAGGGAUUCAAACAACUCUCCUAUUAGUUUACAAAUGAUAUACCGAGGUUCUAAAGUGAUUUUGUAUGUGGAAGACAUAAUUCCGUUCCUCCAUAAGUGUGUUUAUGAUAUGAUUUAUCAUUUUGUAAACAGCUUUCGGUAAAAACUAUCUGUCCCUCAUCGUUACAAGGGGCAACAGAGGUUAUAGACUAGUUAUCUACAAACCCCAAGUCUCGAGAUCGAUACGAUUGCUCAGCCCGACUAAUUUAUGAGAUCUAGCAUUUCUUCUUAGAAUAUGGUGACAAGCUCAUAUUAACAACACAACUAAGAAUUUUCACGUUUUGGUGGACUUGGGGGAUUGCGCUAGAGCGAAAUUUUUGGAGAGGAAGAAGAGCCCAGAGGAGAGGGCGUGUGGCCAUGGAUCUUCUCCUUCAAAGUAGAGGCCCGACAGACACUGGAUAGCACGCUAUCUCCGUCACUGAGACUAAAUACAAAAUUAGCUAACAUAAUUGGGAAUUGAUUCUACCUAUCCAUGUCAAGUUUGAUAUGUAUGCCCGUGUACAAUGUACAGUUGCCUCUUAGUAAGCCUGUUGCUACAUGAGAAUGAGUAGGCAUGUAUGUGUGUUCAAGUAUGUGGUGUAUAUUAUGUAUGGGUGAGCAGUUUCAAGUUUUAUACAGAUUGUAUAUGAAAUCUGAAACAUAUUCGUUGAAACAGCUUCCUCAAUUUUUGGAAAUUAGAACCUACUCCGCAUACCUUAGAACUUGGAACUUAUCUUGUUAUAGGUUCUAAGAUUAGUUCCAGGGUCUAUUCAAGUUCCACCUAUAUUAUUAAUUAAACUAUUGUGAUGAAUUUAAACUUUUAAUGACCACAACUUGCCGUUACAAUUUACUGACCAUAAAGACAAGAAAAAUAUGAACAUUAAUAAAGUAAAAGUCUCGGUCAUAGAAUGUAAGCUCAAAUUAAUACUUCUAGAUUAUACACUUAUCAUCGAAUAGUAUGGAACAUCGUAAGAUCACACGAAGACAUGAACUAAGAAAAAUAUUAAAACUUAUUCUAGGUUUUAGGUUACAGGUUACAUAUUCCAAAUUUUACAUUCCUCCAAGUAAAAACUUGGAAUUUACCAGUCGAAAUAGAUUCCUCAUUUUUUGGAACCUAAAACCUACCCUGCAUACUUUGGAACCUGUAACCUAUAAGUUUCCAUCGGUCUAAUUCUCAAUUCCAGAUUUUACCCUAGAACUAUGCUCACUCCUAAUGAUAUGUACCUGCAUGCGCCAAAGGAGGUCACCACAGGCCUUGACUUGGUGGCGGUGGUCGUAGAAGUGCUGGCAGGUGGCCUCAACCUCGGCACGCUCCUCAGCGUUGCCAGCCUUAGGGUCGAACUCCCAAGUCUGCCUCCCCACGUAGUUGUUGGUGCUGUACAAGUAGGGGUCAUCCUCUCCUUCUGCUAUCUUCAGCUUCCACAUGCUCAGGUCUUCUCUUUUUCUCUCUUCGUUCAGCUGAUUAUAUCGGAACUCUCCUGUACUGUCCUUCCUGAGGAUCAUGCAAACGAACAAGUAAAACAACCCGCACAAGAAAAUGAUGAAUGAGUUGCCAGUUGCCACAAACCAAAAGUCAUCGAUGAACAAGGUCGCUAUAUAUCCAUGAACUAUGCUUGUUCUCUAAGGUUAUGUCACCAUGUGCAUGCAUAUCGCAUUAUAGAUAUCAAAAUAUAUCCCGCAGCGAUCUUGGUUUAGCAUGGCUAAAGCAUGAACUUAUCACACAGACAAACAGACAGACAGAGACACCUCUUUUGACUGUGAGGGAUAUGUGAGAGUUGUUGAGAAAAUAAUCAAGCUCUCUCUCCAAAACCAAGUGUUGCUGUGGUCUUUAGGAGAAGAAAGGGACCUCUAUUUAUACCCACGUUUUGGGUCGCCAGCUUCUUCCUACUUUCUUUAUCUCAUUUAAAAUAGUACUGAGGGUUUGCCAAACAAAAGUAAAAUAAUAUAUAUCAUCCUAUCAUCCCUAAUAAGAGCCAUGGCUUUUUCCAUCCUCUGAUUGGGUAGCAAUACCGGAACGGGCAUACAAACUCGACCAUCAUUAGCUUUCAUCAGCUCAAUCCUGCGGGGCUUCCAUAUCAAGUUGUAAUAUCAUUGGUCACCGUCUAGAGUCUAAUAUAAAUGUAUUUGUAUUGUAAGACAGUCGUAGAAAUGAAAAACGUAUAGUACACAACACGCUUAUUUGGCCACACAUUAUGUAGAAUUGCAUCACCAUAGAAGCAUCGUUUGCUUCACGGGAAAUGGGAUCUCAGUUCAAAAGAAUGUAAUUACAGCCUUUUGAAAGUACAUCCUACAAAAUAAGAAUAAGGUUCUUGAGAAUUCAAAUCCAAUUAAAAUACGACAUCAAAUUACUCUCAUAGUCUUGCUAUUAUGAUUUCGAUUCCGUGGCUUCCUAAUUGUGACAUGUAAACUUCUUGUAAUAAAUGAUGAAAGAUGUUCGUGUACUCCCCGUAUAAUUCGAGUCAUGGGUGAUCUAGGCAACAAAUUAGUGCUGACCUGCAGGCAUGAGCUCCUUUCCUCUAUUACUGGUAUAAGGGAUUGAGAUUACAUGAUUGUGGAUACGAAUAAGUAAAUACCAUCAAUCUUCUCAAAAGUACAUGACAAAAAUUUUGGCUUUACUUUGAUAACUCGAAAAUUUUGUUAUCAUAUAGAUAUACCGACCAUAUUAUGAAUGAGAAAACUUACAAACAAACAAAAAAAAAUGACCUUUUGAAUUACAAGAUUUUGUGAAAAAAACUCAUAUUUGCCUACUAUCUAAAAUUAAAUCGAAGAAAACUAUAUUUUUGUGCAUUGAUAGGUCGUGACGCUACCAUAACUUUGAUUUAUAAAUGACAAUUGAAUUGGCAUGUUGUUGAUUAAUAGAAAAUGAAAAGAUGUUAACUAAAUUGAAAAUCGAAGUAAUCUUUCCAGAGUACAUUAAGGCAUGUGCUCUAUACAUGCAUACUGCAUUAUACUUUAAAAGAACGAGUAUCUUCUAAAAGUUUAGUGAAGGUGUGAAAGGGGACAGGAUUUUAUUAAAAGUCAUGUAUAUAUGCUUAAUAAAAGUAAGAACAAACCACCGCCAGGAGUGGCGUAACUGGCUUCAGGCUCUCUCCCCCUCACGAAGGGAAGGAGUUCGAAUCCCACAAAUGUCGCAUUCGUGCGACUCACCCGUGGCUAGGUCUGUGGUGGUGGCUCAAUUCAUCUCGAGUUUACGUCGCCGGCUGCCAGCUGUACGGUGGUUCCCGGGUCACCAAAAAAAAAAAAGUAAGAACAAUAUUCAUCGCAAAUUUAAAUAUUUUGUUAAAUUAUGACCAGAAGAUUACUGGUGAAAAGCGUUAACUUUUUGUUAUGAAAAUCUAUUAACGUGGUUCACACGACAAGUUAAAUUAAUCGAAAAUUCUGAUUGAUGUGAGGAUUCGAUUGAGUAGCUAACUGUACUUUUCUAUGUCAAAAUCAGCGAGACUAAUCAGUGCCCCUUUUGUGCAUUAUUCUCCUGUGGUGAACAUGUGAGAGGUGGACAAAGGCAAGAAGGUCCUUAAAGGUGGGCGAGAUAAAUUUGACCUCGGUAUGGGAAGGUGUGCAAUUAGUCCUCGUGGUUGCGUGGAUAUCUUGAUUUAUUUCACUGAAUAUUGUCCAAACUCAACUAACCAUCAAAUUUCGGAUCGACAUCACCCUUCGAUGUGAAUGGUGUGAAAGAAAAGAAGUCGAAUGUCAAAUAUCCAAAGUUAAAAAGAAGCAAUCGAUGAUGCCGCAUUGACCUAUGACUCGAUAAGUCAAGCGUUAUUUUUCUUCUUCCGUAAAGCAAGGUCAACUGAGCAGUCGAUGGCUUCGAAGUCAUGACUUCCCUCUAGGAUCUCCUUCCCUCCACAAGUGUCACGCACGUGGCACUCUUUCAACGCUACUCAGCACAUUUUUAUCUCCGGUCUUCCCGAAGUUGCUGACAAGACACGAAGAAAUUUCGACCGAGAAUCCUGCGUCCCUCCCUCGCCAGCCUCAAGGCACGGUCAAACAAAGCCCCCUCCACCCACCAAACUCCUCGAAACGUGGCGAAAAUUUGUACAAGUGACGGUGGAUCGUGAACGAUACAAUGCCUACAAAUCCCUUCUAUUUCGUGCCUUCAGUUCUGGAGAACCUAGCUCGGGCCUCAAUCAUUAUCACCUGCAUUUCACGAGGCUCGUGAGGCGCGAAGUGCGCAUGAGAACCCAUUGUUUAAUGGGGGUUUCAAGGUCCCGCACCCGAGACUUACGCCUGCCUUUGUGGAAAGUCGAACCGCGAGAGACUUUCGACCCGGCAAUACAAUAUUUUCAUGUUUUGUCUCGACUUUUCAGUAAAGCAACUAGGCCAUGUCCUUGAACUUAGCGAUGUCGAGGACGACAAGGAAAGACGGGCUACUGGUGCCGUAUCAAUAUGGCAUAUUUGAAAGAGGACGAAGGCAAAGAAGAAAGAGAGGAAAAAGUUGGGGAAAUUUUCUAUAUUUCUAUAUAUUCAUCUCAAUGUACAAGGGUGAUAUUACAGUGCAAGCCAUGUACAAGAAAAGGCAACUAAAUAAUCUAUGAAUCAGAUCUGAUAUUAAUUGAUCCUAUGAUAUUAAUUGAUCCUAAAUAAUAUCUAGAAGAUAAUGCGUAUCUUCCAACACUUCCCCUCAAGCUGGUGGCUUGUAGAUAUUCAAGACACCUAGCUUGCUUAAAAGAUACGCAUGCUAUCUCUGACAUAAGGGUUUUGUGAAGAUAUCUACUGGCUGCUCUUCUAUCCCAAUUCAUUGUGUCUCAAUCACUCCUUGUUGGAUUUUCUCUCGAGUGAAAUAGCAAUCCACUUCUAUAUGCUUUGUCCUCUCAUGAACAAUGGGAUUUGACGCAAGUUCGAGAGCUGCAUCAUUGUCACAGAAUAAUUUAGUAGGUCCUCUAAUUCGUAUCCCAAGGUCUUGAAGUAAGCCUCGCAACCAAACUAUUUCACAUAUGAUCUUUGCCAUGGCUCAAUAUUCUGCUUCUGCUAAAGACAAAGAGACAAUUGGUUACUUCUUCUUCUUCUUCUUCUUUUUGUGACCUAGGAACCUCGUACAGCCGGCAGCUGGCGAGUAAACCCGGGUGGUUGGUUGCUUCUUUGUCUUCCACGAAAGUAAGGAAUCCCCCAAUUUAAUAAAGAAACCGGUAAUAGACCUUCUGCUAAUCGGACAGUUCGCAUAAUCCACAUCACAAUAAGCAAUCAUGCUCAUAUCACACUUUCUGGAAAGGAGGAUCCCAAGUCCAGGACACUUCUUCAAAUAUUUCACUAUCUUCAGUGCCGUAUUCAUAUAAGACUGUUGUGGCUUGUGCAUGAAUUGAUUGAGCGUUUGCACUGCAUAACUUAUAAAUGGUCUGGUCAUAGUCAGAUAUAUGAGUAUCCCAACGAGCUUCUGAUAUCCCAAAGGAUCUCUGAGUACGGGAUCAUCUUCUUGAGAUACUCCAGCAUCAUAAUCUGUUGUAGUUAAUUUGACAUUCUGCUCAAUUGGGAUAGCAGCUGGCUUGCAUCUUGAUAAACCUGUUUCUGAUAUGAUUUCCAAGGUAAAUUUUCUUUGGCUGAGAGAAAUCCCCUGGUCUGAUCAUGCAAUCUCAAUUCCAAGGAAAUAUUUGGGUGAACCCAAAUCCUUUAUAUGAAAGGUAGAAUGCAAAUAUUCCUUGAAGUUUUUGACAACUACUUCAUCAUUGCCCAUAAUAAAUAUAUCGUCUACAUAUAUCAUCAAAUAGAUAGACGACGUACCUUUUGUCCAUGUAAAAACAACAUAGUCAUAUCUAGAUUGAUGAAAACUAGCAGCAAUCAAAGAGUCAGCAAACUUGGCGUACCACUGUCUGGAAGCUUGUUUAAGGCCAUACAGGGAUUUGCGGAGACAACAUACUAUAUUCUCCCCCUGUCUCCGUAAACCCUAUGAUAUGUCCAUGUAAAUUUCUUCAUUUAAGUCUCCAUGCAGAAAAGCAUUGUGGACAUCCAUCUAGUGUAAGGGCCAGUCCUGAAAUACCGCUACUGAAAGAAAAGAACAAACUGUAACAUCUUUGGCCACAGGAGAAAAGGUUUCGUGAUAGUCAAAACCCUCUCGCUGCAUGAAACCCUUUGCAACCAAUCGCGCUUUGUAUCUUUCUACCGAUCCAUCUGCUCGAUACUUAAUCUUGUAUACCAAUUUGUAGCCAAUUGCCUUCCGAUGAGGCGAUAAUGAAACAAUUUCUCAUGUCUAGUUAUCCAUUAAAGCUUGGAGUUUUGCCUCCAUUGCUUUUUGCCAUCGCGGAUUAGUGCAUGCUUCAUUAUAGGUAGAUGGUUCUUGCUCUUCAGAUAUGCGAGUGAUGCAACAUCUAUGUUCUGGAGAUAAUUGAUCAAAAGAAACAUAGGAAGAAAUUGGAAAUCGAGUACCUGGUGAGUUCCAUGCACUACAUAUGUAAUCCUGAGUCCAAGUCAGUGGACGCGUAGCUCGUCCAAAAUGUUGCGAUUGAUCAUUCUUUGGAGGUGAGUGGUCUUCUUGAGUCUCUAACUGAGAUAAGUCAUUUGUAUCCCCAUCAUUAGAGUCUUGAUCUAUCACUUCCAUACGAGGAGUCACUUCCGCAGUGGACUUAAAUGCCAAGGAAUUACGUGUGUUUUCUAAGGAAGGAAAGAGAACAUAUUCCGGAUAGCUGAAGACUUCCUCAGUAUGAGAAGUAGAAGAAUGCCCCUUAUCCACGGUUGGUUCUUGUGUAGCAAAUGGGAAAAUAUUUUCCUGGAACACGACAUCUCUACUAACAAAAAACUCUUCUGUGAAUGGAUCAAAUACCCGAUAUCCUUUUUGAAGAGUAGGAUAUCCCAUGAAUAUGCAGCGGCGAGCAUGAGGACCCAUCUUAUCUCUAGGUCCUACUAUUGUGGCGUAGCAUAAACAUCCAAAAACGCUCAAAUGGCUCAACUCUGGUUUCUUGCCAAAAAGUAAUUCAAAGGGAGUUCGUCCAUUAAGUACCUUAGUUGGCGUGCAGUUGAUCAAGUAAGCUGUAGUCAAUACACAAUCGCCCCAAAAUUUGUCUGGAAUGGAAGCUUGAAAUUUCAAGGCCCGUGCAACUUCUAAUAGGUGGCGAUGCUUCCGUUCCACCACUCCAUUCUGUUGUGGUGAAUAAGUACAUGAACUUUCAUGUAAUAUCCCUUGAGAAGAGAACAGUGCAGCACAAUCAUGAUUAAAAAACUCUCGUCCAUUGUCUGUCCGGAUUCGUUGCACAGAUUUUCUAAAUUGAGUCUUUGACAGAGAAAGAAAGGUUUUCAAGUUCGAUGAAACUUGACUCUUAAAUUGCAUGAGCAAAAUCCAUGUAGAUCUAGAAUAGGGGUGUGCAAAAGAACUAUGACCCACCCGGACCGCCUGGAACCGGACUGGAAUCGCCCGGAACCGGUGGUUCUUAAGGGAACCAGUCCAGUUUCCGGUUCCAAUCAAUUCCAAUUUAUAGGAACCGGUGGGUACUGGUCCGAUUCCCGGUUCCAUGGGCGGAUCUGCCCGCCUGCCCACCCAGACCGAACCGGUUAUGGACCAUUCUCUUUUAAUUCCCUCGAACAGCAUAUCGCCAAGCCAUCCUCCACACCUUUUCUUCAUUUUUCCUCCUGGCAUAGUUGUUUAUUCUCUCUGAUACUUCUAUCAAAAAUAUUAUCCCGUGGAGCCGACAACGCAAUCUUUCUUAAUUAGCAAAAAGAAACGGCACAUCUUUCUCUAAAGCCUUCUGGUAUUUGAAGUAGGCUCUCUCUUUCUCUCCUGCAAAUCACUGAAUCACUCGCUCUUUUCUAGCUCAACUUUGUAAACAUACACACGCGCACGCGUGCACAUUCAGAGGUUACAAAACGAAAACGAAGCUUCUUGUGUGGUUGUUUUUCAUAGUGUCUGCUCAAACCAUUUUGAUCUUGGCUGUUGAAUGCUUCUCCGAGCCAUCCAACUCUACUGAAAAUACACAUGGACCAAAAGUUCCAGGUAGUUUAUCUUUCCUCUUCAUUCUUCGUUGCCACUCAUUAGUGUCCUAUAAAUUGUCGGAAGCUACCUUUACUUCAAUGGAAAAUGCUGCAGCAAGUUAUGCAGGUUUGAACAAGACCAGUAAAUCUUCGAAAAACGCUGUGGAAGGUUGGUGAAUUCCGUUAUGAGAAAAGGUUCAAAAGGGAAAGGAUAUGUUGGUGGUUGGUACGGAAGGGGCGCGAAGGUCGCAACAGCCGUCACCGCCGCGCUAGUACUCGAGGAGAAUAAAGCUACCAUGGUCGAGAGAGCCAUAAUAAGUAAAUGUGGGGAGGGCAAAAAGGGCAAGAUGCGAAGGUUGGACUAGUUCUAUGGAUCCACCUGGGAACAGGACCGGACCGGCGGUCCAGUUCCCGAGUGGAUCCAUGCAACUAGAGGGCGGUUUCCAGUUCCAAUUUUUCGGAACCGGUUCUUAGUGAACGAUUCUCGGUUCUAGGUCGAGAACCGCCCACUCGGACCACGCACACCCCUAAUCUAGAAUGAUCGUCCACAACUGUGAGGAAGAAUCAAGACCCAUCAUCAUUUGGAGUAUGAUAUGGUCCCCACAUAUCAAUAUGAAGUAAUGAGAAAAUACUGUUUGCACGAUUUUUGCUUAUUGGAAAGGGAACACGAGAUUGCUUUGCAAGUGGACAAAUAUGACAUUGAGGAUAAGGAAAUGAAGAACUAUGGCCCAUUCUGGAAUGCAAAAGACAAUUUUCAUCAUUGGUAGUCAAAUUACACAAUGAUUUCUUAUUACAAGGAAUAUUGGAAAAACUAAGUUCCUUGGAUGAACUAUUCCAAAAAGAUAAACCUUCAGAGAUGUUACCCUAGCCCAUCAGUUUGCCAGUUGAACGGGCUUGAAAGAGACAGGUAUCAGCAUUGAAAAGAACACGACAUGAAUUUUCCUCAUAGGCUCUAGACACAGAAAUAAGAUUAAAUUGAAAACCCAGGACAUAAAGAACAUUCGUGAGGAUAAUCUCAGGGCUAAGAUUGAUUGUUCCUGUUAUGGUGACAUGGGUAAUGUUUCCAUUUGGCAAGUGGACAACAAUGGGAUUAUCCAAUUUUUCAUGAAUAACGGAAAACAGACUUUUAUCACAUGCAAUAUGAUCGCUGGCUCCUAAAUCAACAAUCCAAGCAUUUCUCGAUAUUGCAUUUAUCAAGUUAUGAGAAAUACCUAUGAAACUGCUUCCUUUGUUGAAAGUCUCCAACUUUUGUAGGGCCUGCAGCAAUUGUUGAUAUUGUCCAUAAUUGAUGGGUUGAUUUACAUCUCCUGACCCGGUAAUUUGAUAAGCAGCUACUGCUGAAGUUUCUUUUCCUCUCUUUUUCUUUUUCUCUAGGUCGACCGUGUAAUUUCCAGCAAUUUUCAAUUGUGUGGUGGGGCCGCUUGCAAAAUUCACAGUAGAAUUUCCCUAUAUUUCUUGAAUUAUGCCCAUAAUUCUUUGAAAAAUAACCACCGUUGGAUCCUUUUGAUGCGGAGCCAUCUCUGCCGUUCAAGGUCUGAAGAUCACGAGUGCUCUUAGAGCCGUCAGAUGAUUGUGAACAAUCUGGCCGUUGAACCCACAGCCCUUAAAAGCCUGAUCCGCUGGAAACCCUAGCGCGACACGUCUUUCCUCUUUGUCUAGGGUUUUCGGCCCUCUUUCUCCUCUUGCCGCCAAUGCUAUACUCCCGGCUCCCUUUGUCUCCGACGAGGUAAGGCGUUGGCUUUCUUCCUACACCACCAACUGAAAGAUCCGGCCAAGAGAAGGUGCAGGCUCCAUUGCUAAGAUCUACGACCUGAAAUUGAGGUAAGAAUCGUUCAAAAUUAAGAAAAACCGAGUGCCCUUUUCUCGGUCUUUCAUGGCUUUAUAUUGUCGAAGCGUCACCUCCGAUCCUUCUAACUUCUCCUCGGCCACUUCCAGCUCGUUCCACAAAGCUGAAAGCUUGUUGAAGCAUGCCAUUAUGGUCAUGUUUCCUUGCUUCAGCUCUGUGAGGGCUUGGUGCAGCAAGAAGAUUUUCGUCCAGUCUAACUUCAUGUACAUUUCUUUGAUGCUUUCCCAAAUGGUUUUCGAGUCUUCUAUAGGGGGUAGACCAGCUGCAAUCCUGGGGCUUAUAUAGUUUCCUGCCCAAGUUCUCACUAACUGGUUAUAUUUUUUCCACUGCCUUGCCAAUUUUUCGUCGAUUGGAAUGGGGAUGCUUCCGUCGAUGAAGCUGUCCUUGUCCUUUGUGACAAGGGCUCGACGGAAAUCCCUCGCCCAGUUCGAGUAAUUUUUUGGUCCCAUGAGAAGGUGGCUGAUGAGCCGCAAUUUCGGUCCAUUGGCAGUGGAGAUGUACAGCGUGUCGCUAAGUUCUAGGUGACUCAUGGCAGCCGUGAAGGGGAACGGCAGGAAACUGGGUGGAACUCCCGGGUAGGGAUUUGUAGUUUGGCCCGGAUGUGACCCACCCGACACUCCUGUGUUCGAUUCGCCUGGCCCAUUGGGGUCUGUACCUACAUAAGACAACCCGGAUCCUUCUGUUGCGUCCGCCCCACUUAUGGCUGGUGGGCCGUCAUCUCUCCGCAUCUGGGCUCCUGAAAAAGAAAAACUCGAGUUGGGCCCAUAAUACAUGGGCAUCAGCACCCACUGGUAUGGAAAACCCGAAGCGGGUUGCCCCAGAUUGGGCUGCCAUUGAAUUAAUGGCCUUGUAAUUGGCUAAUUUUGGACUCCGCCGGCUUUAUUCCGCAUGAGGUCAUGCACCUCCGAGGUAGGUAUUUCUGCAGGAAUCUGCUCAUCAGCCAUGUUGGUGGUAAGAUUCCUUUCCUUCCUUCGCUUGUUUAUAGAAAAAUUCAAGUGACUGAUUCCUGCGCCGAAGUGCUAACGCUGUUUUGCAGGUUAGCUUGUUUUUCUGGAUAGGCAAUCAAAGAGAUAGAGAGCGGAAACGAAAUACAGAAGCACAGCUGUGCUUUGAUACCAUGAAAGAGGAUGAAGGCAAGGAAGAAAGAGAGGAAAAACUUGGGGAAAUUUUCUAUAUUUCUGUAUAUUCAUCUCAAUGUACAAGGGUGAUAUUAUAGUACAAGUCAUGUACAAGAAAAGGCAACUAAAUAAUCUAUGAAUCAGAUCUGAUAUCAAUUGAUCCUAGAUAAUAUCUAGAAGAUAUUGCGUAUCUUCCAACAAUACUCAUAACUGAAAUAACUUUUGAGUCCAUCCGAGUGUCUCAUGCCAAUCGCUUAUUGAUUCAUCCGUGGUCUCAUGUAGAUGUGGCAAGAUCGAUGGUGGACCCAUAUUUUAACUAGUAAUUAAUCUCGUCGGUGAUAUAUGAGUUACCUAAUAUUUGAAAUAUAGGAAAGAAUGAGUCUAAUAAACCAAAAAACCAAUUAAUGAUAGGUUUAUGAUGGGUUAAGAGAGAACCCGCUUUCAACCCAUUUAAUCAAAGAGUCAUGGGGAGGCAUCUUGCUCUCACACUCUCUAAUGCAACAUUAUAGAAAGCAAGCUGUAUUAACUUCUUCAAUUAAAAGUACCACCAAGACAUGCAUGCAAAUUGGGAAAUCAGAUAUAAAUUACACUGGUUUUUUAAUAAUCUAAAUUUUUUAGAAUAAAUUGUGGAACGUUCAAUUAUAGGAAUUAAAAAAAUAAAGACAAAAGGAAGACAAUGACUUGUUGAAGUUAUUUAAAUAAAUAAAUAAAAAGUGUGUGUAAAAAGCUUCUUUGAAUUAUAUUACAAUGACUUAUCAAAACACCAUCGUCUUAGCUUGGGUCCUCUAUUCUAGGACUAUAAGUCCUUCGGAUCUGUAUUUAUGAUAACAAGAAAAACCACAAAAGUGGGUUUUGAUUUCUGUUUUGUAUUUAUUAUAUUUUAAAGCCCUUGCCUCUCACAUGCUCAGUUUGAAUCGUAGAUAUGUUACGCUAAAUUAAUCCAAACUUGCUUGCUGCUCACACCAUAAGCGUACUCGUUUUACUCGAUGUAACGAGUCGAGGUGGACCGAUGUAUUCGUGUAGUCUCGUGAGGGCGCACUCAAGAGCACGGCCCGUGAUGACCGUUCCAUCCUGAGGAACGAGAGAAUGGUGCACCGGAGAGAAACCAGUGGAGUGCCAAAAAAGCUUUGCCUGACAGCGCCAUUCAAGUCACGCGCGAUUCGGGUCCUACAUUCCCUCUAGCCUAGGUUGCAACGAAUUAGUACCAACCCAUGGGCAUGAGAUCCUUUCCUCUAUUAGUUACAGGAUGGAAAUUACACGAUGCGAGAUACGGACGGAUGUAUACCGUCAAUUUUUGAAAAAGUGCGUGACUGAAACUCGGCAUUACUUUAAUAAUUUAUCAGAAUGAUGUUAUUAUAGGUUUAUUCUAAUUACAUUGUAAAUGAGAAAGAACUUAUGCAAUCCUUCACAUUACAUGAUCGCGUAAAAAUCUCACAUUUAAUAAAUAAUUUCACUGUACUUAUGUCUGCUAAAGAGACAAAAUCCACAUUUUGACAUUUUCAAACCGCUUUCGCAUUGUCGUCACAAGUCACUAACUCGACACAACCUCAUAAUUCUCUUGUUGUCGACCAAGCUAUCGUACCGCCAAGCCAUCAUUGUUACUUUAAGUUCAUGCCAUUGGCAAACCUUUUCAUGUUAAUUCCCUUAACUUGCUUUGAUCAUUGGCAAAUCCAUUUUUGUAUUUGAGAAGGGGGCAACCUAAUUCAUGGAAUUACCUUUAGAGUAAAAUUGAAUCUAAUGCGAUUCGGCGCGAGUUCUUUUCGUUUAUCUUUUGAUGACAGUUUGGCUAUUCCUUUCAAAGUAGUAGAUGUGGAAAAUCAAUUCAUUUUAGGAAAUGGUGAGCUGACAUUGGUGAGCUGACAGUACCGUUAGUCCUUCAAACGAAACGGUGGCUUAUCCGUCUUCAAUUCUCCAUCUUGAAUGAUAUGAGCAUAUCCAUUUCUUGAAAUAGAAUUAAUGCUCUCUCAACAUCUAAUCUAAAUAUAGUACUGUUAGGCUAGCAAUGCUAUUUUUGUCCAAUGUUCUCGAGAAAAUAUUAGGUGGUCCCACUCAACCACAUUAGUAUAGUCUAGCUGCACUCAUCGAGCGACGGGUGAAGCCAUGUCAGAGGGUAAGUCCCACUGAGAUAGAUCUGAAAAUCGUCUCUAAUAUUUCAGACCACGUAAUAUGUUCUCAUGGCUUGGUGGUGAUCAAGCUUGGUUGACAGCAAGAGAGAGUCGACGGUGGCCUAAUCAGUGACAGCAAUGCAGAGAGAUUUGACAAUGUCCGAAGUGGCGACAACAGCGAUGAAUAUAUCACGACUUAUUAACAUGCAAAAAUAUAGCUUUCUCUUGAUUUUCUGUUAAAUACCAAAGUAACCACACAUUUAAUUAAUAGAUGAGAGAUUUUCACAGAAUCUUGUAAUUUGAAAGGUCCUCCACAUGUAUGCAAGUUUUUCUUAUUUAUAAUAUAGAUGGCAUAAACCUAUGAUAACAUCAUUCUUAUAUGUUAUUAAAGUAACGCCUAAUUUUUGUCUCGCACUUCGGGAAAGUGACAGUAUAUAUCCAUCCGUAUCCCGCAUGGUGUAAUUUCAUUCCCUAUAUUAAUAGCAAAGGAAGUUCAUGCUCACAAGUUAGUAUUGAUUUGUUGUAACCUAGGUUAGAGGGAAAUGCACAAACAUGUUUGCCAUUUUUUUUUCUUUUUACUUUCACGUUUGUUAAAGAUAAUUAUGAUAUAUAUCUUAAUUCCUCAUAUCACUUAAGGUUGCGUAUCUAUAUCCAUUAAUUAUGCAUGCGAUUGCUUGAUUAGAAUUGAUAUUUAUCUUUAAAAGCCAAUACUAAUGUACUAUUCAUUAUAAUACACAGGAAUAUAUAAAUUACAUAGAAUUUUGCAAUUCUCUCUUCAACAUCGUUUAUCAUGAUGUCAAAAUUAAGUGAUUUUGAGAAAGUUUUGAUUGCAUUGGGGACAUGACAUUGUACAUCUGGAGCUCCAUUGCUUCUUAUGUCAUUUUCUUUUUCAAUGACAACUAAUAUCCUCCUUUUAAUGUCUAUCUUUAAUAUAAUUUAUGUCAUUUGAUAGUUAUGUCAGUAGUCUAUCAUGCAGUCACAUCAUUCUCAAUUCUCUCUUCAAUAUUAUUAUAAUUAACGUUUAUUCUCAAUGUAAUUUGCGUCAUUUGAUAGUUAUGUUAGUAGUCUAUCAUGCAGUCACAUCAUUUUCAAUUCUCUCUUCAAUAUUAUUAUAAUUAAUGUCUAUCCUUAAUAUAAUUUACGUCAUUUGAUGGUCAUGGCCACGUGAUCACAUCAUCCUCCUCUAUUGUUCAUGCACGGGAGAAAAUAUUCAAUAGUAUGAGCGCGCCACAUCAUCUGCUGACAUGGUACGCAUUUACCACUCAGAUAUCAACACAUGUUUGUGAGUGGGACCCGUUCAAAAUUUGAAAGGCUGACUCUCGGCUAGUGGCUCGGCAUGGCUGGCAAAAGAAAGGACAAGUCAAUGGGUAGUAAAUGCGCAACCCUCCCGCUUAAAAUUUCUCUCUCCUCACUUGAAUUUUAUGGAUUUUGUCUUUCUCUCUCUCCUCGUGGAAGAACAACACCCAAAAGCCUCGCCUGUCAUCUACCUCUGGCACGUCGCCUCCUCCAAGAGCCUCACCAGUCAUAACCGGUUCCCGACCCCCUUUGCCUUCGACUGUUUCCAACACGGAGAUCGAGCAUAAGCUUCCUCGGAAACUUUUGGGCCUCCGUCCGAUUGCCUCCCUCCAACGAACUCAUCAUCAACUCCGACUCUGAGUCGCUGCCGCCGCCGCCGCCGCUUCCACCGACGACAAUGGCAUCCUCCAUCUCUAGCAUCUGCUUGUCCUCCCCCUCCCUCAAGCCAAAGACGUUGUCGGCCUUCAGCAAGAGGGAGGUGGCCUCGGUCUUGUUCCCGAGCGGCGCCAAGCUCCCCACCGUCAACCGGGUGAUGUCCCUGUCGCUGGCCCGAUCGGUCACGAGGGAGAUCUCGGCGAACCUGGGCAAGGUUGACGACGCGGCAAAGAAGGAGAGGCGCGAGCUAGAGGGUUGGAGAAGGAUUCCCGCUUGUUGUGGACAAGGUACGUGGACUAGCUACACCAGCACCAGAGCUAGGGCUUUUCCUUGGACGUGAGCCGAAUCGAGUUCAUGGACGAGUUCGUAGAGGAGAUGGAGCCUCGAUUCCAAGCCGCGUUCAAGGCAAUGGAUGUGACAACCUGAAUUUUCAGAUUUCGAUUUCGAUUAAAUAAAUCGGGCCUUUCAUUGACGCGCUUAUAGUGUUAUUCUCUGAGCUGAUCACUCAAGAGAUAACUAGGCUAUAUGGGGAAGCAAUCAAGAAAUCUAAAUGUAAGAGACUUGAGAAUUCGACUAGGAAUUGACUGCUCGACCGUGUUGAUCUGCAAGGGUCAUUGCGGUACUAUCAGAAAUCGAUCAGAAACCAGAGAUAGAUCGAUUCGAUUAAGAUAUGUCAUCAGAGUGUGAGUGAUUCCACUGGAUCGCAAAAUACUCGUUGAUCGGCACUAGAUCGAUUUUUCUAUCGUUUUGGUACCCGGUGCCCGUAUUUGAAAUAUCGAGAUUUUCACGACAAUCGGGAGUCGCUAUUGUAUCGAAUGGGUUCAUUGUGGCUCAAAGAAAAUUAACCACGAGUAGAGUUUUUCUUCAAUGAAAUUGGACGUUGAUUUGAGAAAAUUCGUGGAGAAAUUGAGAAAAUUCGGAGCUUAGACUAAUGGCUGAAAUUGUUGGCUUCAAAGUUGGUUUAAUGGUGGAAUUUACUUAUUAGAAAGUAAGUGGGGACAUUUGGAUAUUCAUGAGGGCUUUAGGGGGGACCAACAAUUAAUGGAAUGGGUGAGAUUUGUUGACUUUGCCUCCACCUUCAGCAGCUUCUCGAUCACGCAUUCUCCAUUCCCAUCUCCUUCGCUGCUUUCCUUCUCAGCCACUUCUGCUUUUCAUUUUUUUCAUUCGACGAAGUUCGGUCUCCCUCAAAUUCUCUCUCUCUCUCUCUCUCCGUGUAUUUCCCUCACGCCAGCAUCCCCAUCCCACCGUAAACCCCCAUUUCUUUCUCCACCUCACGCCCACGCAUCCGAGUCUCCAUCCUCCUCAGUCAACUCCAGCGCAUCUUGAAGACCAUCGACUUCUCCAUCGAGUUUUGUCGGCCACAGAAUCCAUCCACCACUGCAGCAACCGAUCAGCACUUCGGCCUCAAGAAGUUGACUCCGUUCCUCUCACCCGUGGCCACGUCUCGCCUCAAAUCGAAGACCAACCCUGCUCCACUGCUGAGUCUUCAUUUCCUUCGGUCUUCACGUCUGCCGCUUCAUUGGUUCCUUCGCUGUUGGUGUCUCCAUCUUACUGCGUGAGACCGACCGAAGCAGCACACGCCCGCGCAGCAACUCCACGCGGCCAACGUUCAGCUGUUCCUCGAGUCUUCCGUGUGUGCAGCCAACCGAAGCUUUUUCCGCUCGCCGAAGCAAGAUGCCAGCGAGCCGUUUCUCCAUCCAGCUCGGCCCAGAAACAGUCCACGAAAAUUUCAGCUCCUUCUUGGGUUCUUGUUCGGCCCAGCUCCUCCAACACAAGCCCAUCAGCCCACACGAAUCAAAAGCUAGUCCAUUUUCUGCCGCAGCCCAUCCACGAAGACAGCCCAAGUGAAAUUUAGAUUAUUUCAGCCCAAGAAAAAUUGCAGCAGCCCAAGUCUUUGGCCCAUCAACUCCAGCAGCCCACUUGAAGCCCAAGAAGCAGGCCCAAGCCCAAGUCUAAGCCCAGAAAUUUCUGUGGGCUUGCAAGAUUUUGGGCCCAGUCCGAGUAUCCACCGACGCCGCCGAAAAGUUGGAUUUCGGCCGCCGUCGCGGUGAUCCAGUCUCCACUUUUAAUCAAGUGAGUUUUUCUCACUUAUCCCUUAUUAGUCAGUUAAUUAUGCUUAUGUGUUGAUUAAAUUUAAUUAAGUGCAAUUAGGUGGAUAGAUUAGAUUAGAGUAAUCAAAUUAGAGACUUAUCAAUGCAUGUUAGGCAUAUGGUUAGUGUAAUUAGCAAGGAAAUAUGUCCUAGUAUUUAUUGAACGAGUUUCUGUAAUUUUCCGUGCUCGUAUCGACUUCCAAUCAUGCAUUAUGGGCCUAAGUUGGAUUUAUUGCAUUUAUUUAUUAUUUUCGUAAUUAUUUUCCGGAAAUUAGGCUGGAAUAGCCGAUGACUAGAAUUUUGUGCUGAUUUCGGUGGUGCUCUCUGUUUAUUUAAUUGAGUAUCGGUUUGUGAAAAUUGAGUGUGAUUGGUGGUUAUGGGGAUUUAUCUCAAAAUUGGAAAAUGUCGUUAUUUGAAGGGAAAAUAACCGUGUGAGGUUGUGAGUUUAAUAGAUAAUUGCCAGGUGGGGCCGUGAUGCCACCAAGUCGAGAAAAUUGCCAGGUUAGGCUGUGAUGCCAUCAAGUCAAGAAAAUUGCCAAGUGGGGCCGUGAUGCCACCAAGUCGAGAAAAUUGCCAGGUGAGGCCGUGAUGCCGCUAAGUCUAAAAUUGCCAAGUGGGACCGUGAUACCACUAAAGUCUAAACUUGCCAAGUGGGGUCGUGAUUCCACUAAUUAAAAAUUAUGCCUGUAGGGCCGUGAUUCAAAAUCGAGAAUGAAUAAUCGAAACGACCGGAAAUGGUCUUGUUGACAUGUAAUCGACCGAGUCAAUUGAUUGAUGACUCGAUCUGAUUGAUUGGAUGCUAUGAUUGUCAGUAUUUAUUAUUUGAAUUGACUUGCAGGAAGGAAACUGAGGCCAAGGUAAGCCCUCUGACCCGUGAUGUGCUUAGGCAACCCUUAGGACAUAUUUUAUUACUAAUCGGGUCUUAGGGAGCAAAACUUGCUGAGACAUUGUCUCACUGGUUAUUGAAUAACCAUUUUCAGGUCCUUAGACAAUGUUCAUGGAGGACUUGAAGUCCUGGAGUUUGGGGAAGCGAAGGAAGCAGAAUCGGCAAAUCUGUUUGACUCGCUAGUCAUAGGACAGUACCUUUUUGAUUAAGCCGAUAAUUUUGUAAGCGACCUGAUGAUGUAAAUAAACUUAUGUGUUUAUAAAAAGUUGGUUUUGGUUUGAAAAAUUUAUGGCCAUGUUGUAAAAUAUUGCGUUGCAAAUAUAUAAUAGAGAAGAAAUUGAGAAGAGAAAGUAAGUGAACACUAGAGAUGGUAGAGAAAGCCAGAUAUUUCACUAUAUUAUGAUUGUUGUUCUAAUAGUUGUUGUGUUAUUAUACAUCAAAACUUAAACUCCUAUUUAUAGGAGAACAAGAAUGUACUUAUCAUUAAUAUCAAUGUAUCGAAUGAUACAUGUACAGGAUAAGGGAGACGAACGUUCAUUGUAUAGGGAGAUGUACUUAGAACAUUUUAUACAAAUGUACCAUAAUAAGUACAUUGGAUAAGAUGAAUAUAAUGAAUAUGCAUUCAUGUAUUAUAUUCAUUCAUGUAUUUCAUAACACUCUCCCUUGAAUAUUCAUUGUAUUCAUUAUGAAUGUGUAUCGAAUGAUACUGCCUCAUUAAAAACCUUAAGCAGGAAAAACCCAGUGGGAUAAAAACCAGACAAAAGGGAAAAAGAGUGCAGAGCACAAAAGUUAUGAUCUCUCCCUUUUAUGGAUGCAUUAAUUGUCUCGUUAAAAACUUUAAGUAGGAAAAACCCUAUGGGAAAAAACCGGACAUAAAGAAAAAAAAGAGUGCAAUGCAUAUAUGGCCACUCCCGAGGCUAAUCAUUAUUGCAUCUUGUGAACUAGCCGCAUAUCAAUGCUGCAAUGCAUAAUUCAUAAUAUCUCCCCUUCAAUAGAGCCAUAUAGCCACUUCUGGCGCUAAUCAAUCUUACAUUUUAUGAACUUGCCUCAUACCAAUGCCAUUUACUAAUCUCAAAAGUUGAUGUUGGCAAUGAUUUGGUAAAAAAAUAUGCAAGAUUAUUUAUGGAUCGAAUCUGUUUAACAUCAAUUUGUCGACUUUCUUGGAGUUCAUGAGUAUAGAAAAAUUUCGGCGAGAUAUGCUUGGUCCUAUCACCUUUGAUAUAUCAUCCCCUGACUUGUGCAACACAAGCAGCAUUAUCUUCAUAAAUUAUAGUGGGAAAAUUUGUAACCAGUAUUAAGCAACAAGAAUUAUGAAUGUGUGUUAUAACGGAUCUUAACCAAACACACUCUCUUCCAGUUUCAUAUAAAGCAAUAAUCUCAGAGUGGUUAGAAGAUGUAGCUACUAGCGAUUGCUUCGUAGAACGCUAAGAAAUAGCAGUGUCGUUAUAACAAAAUAAAUACCCGGUUUGAGAGUGAGCCUUAUGUGGAUCGGAUCUAUAUCCAGCAUCGGCAUAUCCAACUAAACCAGAGUUAGUGGAAUCCUUGGAAUAAUAUAAUCCCAAAUCUAUGGUUCCUCGGAGAUAACGGAAAAUAUGUUUAACUCCAUUCCAAUGUCUCCGAGUUGGCUCAGAACUAAAACGUGCCAAUAAAUUUACCGCAAAAGCAAUAUCUAGUCUCGUACACUAUGUCAAGUACAUCAAAGCCCCAAUUACAUUGAGAUAUGGUACUUCAUGACCAAAUAUCUCUUCAUCAGAUUCUCUAUGAAGAAAUGGGUCCUUUUGGGGAUCUAAAGACAUUACAACCAUCGGGGUGCUCAAUGGGUGAGCUUUGUCCAUGUUGAAACAUUUAAGCAAUCUUUCAACAUAUGCUGAUUGAUGGACGAUUAUUCCAUUUGCUUUAUGCUUAAGCUCUAGACCAAGACAAAGUUUGGUUUUACCCAAAUCUUUAACUUCAAACUCCCUUUUUCAAAUAUUCAGUAGUUUCAGCUAACUCUUCUGGAGUUUCAAUUAAAUUUAUAUCGUCGACAUAAACUGCUACAAUAGCAAAUCCGGUUUCUGAUUUCUUAAUAAACACGCAUGGGUAGAUAGGAUCAUUCUUGUACCUUUCCUUAAUUAGGUACUCACUUAGGCGUUGAUACCACAUGCGACCGAAUUGCUUUAACCCGUACAAGGAUCUUUGCAAUUUUAUUGAGAAUAAAUUGCGGGGAGUGCAUGCUUCAGGCAUUUUGAAUCCCUCAGGAAUUUGCAUAUAAAUAUCAAAGUCUAAUGAGCCAUAUAGAUAUGCCGUCACAACGUCCAUAAGACGCAUUUCCAAUCUUUCAAAGAUUGCUAGGCUAAUGAGAAAACUAAAUGUAAUCAUAUCCAUCACAGGUGAAUAUGUCUCAUUAUAAUCAAUUCCAGGUCUCUAGGAGAAUCCUUGGGCAACGAGUCGGGCUUUAUACCUGAUAAUCUCGUUUUUCUCAUUUUGUUUUCGGAUAAUACCCAUUUAUAUCCAACGGGUUUUAUCGGGGAUACGAGUUACAGGUCCAAAAACCUCUCGUUUAGUUAGGGAAGCUAAUUCAGCUUUAAUUGCUUCCUCUCACUUAGGUCAAUCUUGCCUUUGACGACAUUCAAUAAUAGAUUGCGGCUCACAAUCAUCAUCUAUAAUUUUAUGAGCAACUGAGAAUACAAAAGCAUCAUCAAUGAUGAUUUCAUUUCGAUCCCAAAUUUCAUUACAAUAUGUAAUGGAAUUUUCGGUAUUCCCGGGGCUAGUGUUUCUUUCAUGGAUUUGAGCCUCUUCAGAGGCAAUAAGCUCUUUAGGAGCAAGCACAACGUCAGGCUCUUCUGGAGCGGAUUCAUGAUUCUUUCCCCUUCAUUUUCGAGGAAUAAUAUCUUUUGAUCCUAUUGGUAUACCACACUUCAAGUGCGCAAGUAAACGUGCAAAGGUGACAUUGCGCGUAGAUAAUAGGCAAACAUGGGACCAUCUACAGGAUGCAUCCACUAAUACCAUAAAAUAUCGAAAUGGUCCACUUGGUGGUUGUAUUGGUCCACAAAUAUCACCCUGAAUUCUUUGCAAGAAUAAAGGAGAUUCAAAAUUAACCUUUGUUAUAGAAGGUUUAAUAAUGAGCUUUCCUUGUGAGCAAGCCUCACAAUUAUAAUCUUUGGACAACAAUACAUUUAUAUCCUUUAAAGGGUGCCCUUUUGUAUUUUGAAUUAUCCUACGCAUCAUUGAAGCGCCAUGAUGACCAAAGCGAUCAUGCCACAAUCCAAACUGAUCAGGGCUUACCAAUCUCCAGGAUGUGGUGGCGUAGGUUUCAACAGCCUUAAUCAUGACAAAAUACAAACCCAUAGAAGAAGCUUCUAGCUUCUCAUGGAUGGUCUUCAGGCCCAUCUUAUAAGAGGAAAUGCCAAUAUAUUCCUUAUCUUGCUCAUAAAUAGUCUCAAUAUGGUACCCAUUACGGCGUACAUCUUUGAAACUGAGUAGAUUUCUUUUUGAUCGAAUGCUUAGAAACGUAUUCUCAAUAUGCAGGAUUGUGCCAUUUGGCAAAAUAUUUGUAGCAUUCCCAAAACCAUCAAUAAUCGGAACAGGACCUGAUAUUGUAUGGAUUUGUGCCUUACGCAAUGUCAUACUCGAGAAAAAGUGUCUACUACAAAAUAUAGUAUGUAUUGUUGCACUAUCAAGCAAACAAACAUCUUCUUUUUUCCCGGUAUUUUUCAUUUGCAUUUAUAUUAACAACUUCAGGUGUCAAGUAUCAUAAGAGUUGCAUAUUAGUUAUAUAGUUGAAUAAAAUUUCAAAAAUAAAUAUUAUAUAAGGUUCAUAAGCAUUUCAUAAAAAACAAUAAAAAGUAAUACAUUUAAAGCGAAACAACAUAAAAUUCGAAAUUCAAAUUAUCAUCAACCAAUCUGAUUCAUCAAAGUAAUCAAAGGUCCUCAAAGAAAUCAGAGACAUCCAAUGAUGCAUUUGCUACUUCAGGAGCAAGAGGAGUCCCACCAACGGAUAUAUUGUUGGCAUCAACAGUGGUUAUGGCAGUAGGAUUGAUUUCAAUGGCAUGAGAUUCACCACACUUGCCCGUAUUCUUUAAAGAUGUCUGGUAUAGGUCAACAAAAUGUUUUGGCAUACGACAGGUACGUGACUAGUGCCCAGUCAUGCCACAGCGAUUACAAAUACUUUCAUUAAUCACCUUCUUUGGCUUCUUUUCUUUGCCAUGAUUCAGGCUAAAGUUUGAUUUUCUAAGGUGGUUAAAUUUAUUGUCAUCCCUUCUAGGAUUAUGUUCUUGCCUACGCUUAUAGCCCUUAAAAUGGCCAGUAUUUUUCUCAAAGUUAGCAUGUGCUUCAGGCAAUGCUUUUGAGCCAGCAGGUUUAAGAUCAUGAUUUUUUAGCAGUAAUUCAUUAGUUUGCUCAGCAGUAAGAAGCACAGAAAUUAAUUCAGAAUAUGUGGCAAACUGACGCUGCCGGUAUUGCUGUUGCAAUACAAUAUUUGAAGCAUGGAAGGUAGAGAAAGUUUUCUCUAACAAUUCCGCAUCAGCGAGUUUGAUACAGCAUAAUUCAAGCCGAGAAACGAUAUCAAAUAAAGCAGAAUUAUAGUCAGACACUGAUUUAAAAUCUUGCAGUCUGAGAUUUUGAUAAUCAUAUUAUGCUUGAGGGAGGAUAACAGUUUUGGUAUAAUCAUACCUAUUCUUCAACCUCCUCCACAAGAUAUGAGGAUCUCGAACGGAUAAAUAUUGAGUCUGCAGGCUCUCAUGCAAAUGACGGCGAAUAAAAAUCAGCGCAUUUGCUUUAUCCCUUUCAUUUGAGGUUCCAUCCUCUGUAAUUGUAUUAGCGAGACCUUGCCCUUGGAGGUGCAUUUCCAUGUCAAGGCACCAGGAUAGAUAAUUCUUUCCACUCACUUCCAGGAUGUGGAAUUUGGGCUUUUCAAUAUUUGCCAUAAUCCUUGCAAAAAUAAAUCCUUAAAUUAAUUAAAAGGAUUUCCAAAUAUCCACCGCUACUUCAAGAGCAGAAAGAUACUUUUAGAUUUGAAAUAUGGCUUCGGGCCAAGAAAAAUAAAAAUGAAGAAUUGAUAGAAGAAGAUGAAGUAUAAGUUGAUUAAUAAAAAUAAUACCCACCUUGCAAAACUUACUUACUCAGUCGGUAGAUCCUCGUGCUGAUAACGUGUUGUAAAAUAUUGCGUUGCAAAUAUAUAAUAGAGAAAUUGAGAAGAGAAAGUAAGUGAACACUAGAGAUGGUAGAGAAAGCCAGAUAUUUCACUGUAUUAUGAUUGUUGUUCUGAUAGUUGUUGUGUUAUUAUACAUCAAAACUUAAACUCAUAUUUAUAGGAGAACAAGAAUGCAAUUAUCAUUAAUAUCAAUAUAUCGAAUAAUACAUGUACAAGAUAAGGGAGACGAACGUUUAUUGUAUAGGGAGAUGUACUUAGAACAUUUGAUACAAAUGUACCAUAAUAAGUACAUUGGAUAAGAUGAAUAUAAUGAAUAUUCAUUCAUGUAUUCUAUUCAUUCAUGUAUUUCAUAACAGGCCCUACUUUCCUAUCUCAUUGUUUUAUUAUCUGGGGAUUUAUAUUUGCUUCCGCAUGCGUAUAUUAAACAAAUGAGUCAGUGAUGCGUCCUAGGACAUUGCUAUUAUAUUUACCGAGCAGGGAUGGGCACGAGUCCGGAGGGUCGAGGCGUGACAAUGGAGAAGCUGGAGAAGGGCUCGAUGGCGAACCCGGCCUGGACGAGGGCCGCAUGGUCAGGCACUACUGGUUGAGGAAGUCGGAACUCAUGCCGGCCUGGUUCCUGAAGGCGCUAGAUUGAGAGCACGCUCGAUGCCAUCUGCAAUUUCGCUGCCAACGUGAUCAACGAUAAGGUCAGUUCUAGAAUUUCGGUCGUUGUUGCUCUCUGUGUGGUAACAGAGUCUAUAGUUCCCUGCGUUCCUUUUUUUCUUUUUCUUUUUUAGAAUCGGUUGGCUGUCAUAAAUACCUGUGUCAGUUUUCUGUUAAAUACCAACAUUGUCUUAGUCACUCAAGGAAGUGCGAGCCAAUGAUAAAUUGAAUUGGUUUAUGGUCGAAGAGGUUGAGAGCUCAUUUACGUGUUAUUCACUUGAAAUGACCGUGUAUGGAAAUUUCCGACUCUGAGACGCAGUAAUUUCAAAAUUUUCUUUAGGUUUUCCAAUUAAUGUCAGCAUAAAAUUCGGUUUUUGAUCGUUGGUUUUCUUUUAGUGUGCUUAGCUGAUUGCAUCGGACACGGAUGGAUUGAUUGACUUGAUUAUCUUUGACGCUUAAUUUGCAGAUUAAGCCCCCUCCUCUUCUCCCGUGGAUCGCUUUACCCAAGUACUUUUAGUUGGAAUCGGAGGUUCAGCUCUUGGGCCACGGUUUCUUGCAGAGGCAUUGGCUCCCGAUAAACCUCCAUUGAAGUGUUGUAGACCGGAGUGUCCAUCCUCCUCUCGCAAUCUACCCUUCGGGUAUUUAGCUUCAUGGAAUGUGUUGCUCUUUUAAAUUUUUAUACCUUCAUUGAUCUAUCCAUUUAAGUUGUUGGUCGAUGUACAUUGCACCGUUGAUAAUGGAGGUGAGCAUGGCCCUUUUUCAUUCAGUUGGGCACCGAACCAAACGAAUUGCAUUAAUACGGUUUGUUGGAUGCAAAUUGCGUAAUCCCAAGAUCUCCAUAACUAUAACAAAAACAUGCAUAAUUGAGUAGAAAUAUUAGCGCACCUGUUUUAGGAUCCAUUGUUCUUGAAACGGAAGCGGAAACACAAUGUUCCACGCGCAAGUCCUUCUCCUCUAUUGCCCUCCGUAUCACUGGCUCAAUGAGACGGCCCCCCUCACGUGUAGCGUUAGAUAAACGCCCCUUAGGUGAGGAUACAGGUGAGAAUUAGGGUUAGAGAUAUGGUGGUGUGGCAAAUGGAUAACAUCUCUCAUAGAGAGAUCCCAUUUGCCAGUCACCAUUCUCUUACCUUAGGCGUUACAAAAACUUGUGCCACUAGAGAAUGCUUUAUGGUUCCAAUGAACCCACGUAUGUCUUGUCCUUACGGUUAACAUUUAUUUAUGUAUCACGAGACAUAUGCAUGAGGCUAAUAACCAGAUGCCCCUAGCCUUCACUCAAGGUUUAUACAAUCCCUUGAGACUUUAUCAAUAACAACUCAUUCAAAAAUAUUUUAUUGAAUGCAAAAGUUGAUACAUAUCAAACCGUUACAAAGUGUAAUGAACACAGAUGAAAUCUUUAUCAGAGUAAAACCAAAAUAGCUCCCACUAAAUAACAGCAUCUCAUAAUGCUUCUAAGCCUAUACUAAUGACAUGUCACUUAAAUACACAUGGGCAUAGGCCUUUAAUUAGUGGAUCUGCAACCAUAUCAUCUAUGAAAAUAUAUUAUAUUAUUAUGUCACCUUACUGUACCGUUUCCUUUUAGUCAAAAAUUUUGACCACCAUAUAUUUAGACCCCUUGAGACCUCUGUAAUAAAUAAAUAAUACUACAAAUUUGUUAUCUCAAUACAACCGUAUGGAUCUAUUCAUAAAGUUAAAACGAUCAACUCCUUCAUGAGGUUAUGGAGCCUAAAAAGCCAAAAUAAUGUUACUAACACUGCUUACAUAGUAGAAGAUGACAUAGAACUUUAUUUACUGCACUUACUGCUAACAUAAAUAUGUAUUCUGUUAUUGAUUGCAUGUCAUCAGAAUAGCCAGCAAAGUUUACAUCUAAAUACCCUACUAACUGCAAGAAUUUAACAUGUCUAUAAAUUAGCAUAUAAUCCAUUGUCCUCUUUAAGUACAUUAAAACCUUCUCAGCAGCAGUCCAGUGAUCACGUCUUGGAUUUGACCAAUAUCUGCCUAGAAAUCCCGUCACAAAGAUGAUAUUUAGUCUAGUGCAAAUUCGAGCAUAUAUUAUACUUUUAAGUGCACUAACACAAUGUACACCCUUCAAUUAGAUUUUCUCAAUAUCUAAAUAAGGACAAUGUGAUAGAUUUAGUCCAUCACCCUUAACAACAGGAGCAAUUCUUGGCUUACAAUGAUGUAUAUUGAAUAUUUUUAAUAUACAAUCAGCAAAUGUCCUCCGAGAAAAUCUAAUAUAAUAUGGCAAAAACAAUCCUUACAGACCUCAGUACAAUGGACAUAAGAUAUCUAAAUGUCACAACUUGUAAGCAAAAUAUCAUGUACAUAGAGUAUGAAAAAAUAAAUUUUCUCCCACUGACUUUGCAAUAUAUUGAAUUACUUUGUUCACAAUUGAACAAAAUAAUAACACUAUGAAACUUUAAUAAUAUUGUCUAGAAACUUGCUUAAAACUAUGAAUAAAACUUUUCAGUCUACACACAAAUUUACUUGAAACAUUUGUGUCGCGACCUACCCUCGGGGGGAGGGAACAGGUUUAGGGGUAUUGCCCAAAGUAUGGACCUAAGACCCAUGAUUAGGCGCGGGCUCUCCCAAGCCCAUACCCCGCGUGACGUUGGGAUAUUUUUCAUGAAUUUUUGCAUAAAAGGAGUCGCCACUAGCCUAUUGGGGUCGGCUAGAAACCAAGUGAGGCAUGGGAGCGUGCCUCACUUCCUACGCAACCAGAGAAUUUAGGUUCGGGGACUUGAUUACACUAAUUAACCAAUUAGUGCCCUUUCGGUACCUAAUCUUGUUCAUUUUAACAAAAUGAAUUUUUGGCAAGCAAUUUGGAUUGAUUUUAUAUUUAUCCACUAACAUGUGAGGUGAUCAUGCAGGCGCGCAAUCAUUAAAGUAAUAAACACGUGCAAUCAAACAUAAUAAAAUAUGCAAAUUAAACAUGCUACAUAAUAAUAAACGAGCAAAUAAAUGCCUAAUUAUAAUAAACGAGCAAAUAAAUGCCUAAUUACACUAAAAAGGCAGUACAUAACAAUUCCUAGCCAAAUCCUACAUUUUUUGGAUUUUCGAAAUUUUUAAUUUUUUUAAUUUUUUAAAAUUUUUUUUUAAUUAAGAAAAAGGUCGAAUUUUUUUGAAUGCUUUCUGAGUUUUUUUGAAUUUUCGGAAAUAUUUUUGAAUUUUUUUGAAUUUUUUUUUUGAAUUUUUUUUUUAUUUUUAUAAUUAAUUUUUGAAUUUUUUUAAUUUUUUAAUAUAUAUUUAAUAUUUAAUAUUAUUAUACUUCAAUAAAAUGGGUUCGGACCGGGUAAACCCGAUCCGACCCGCGGACCCAACCCGAACCCGGAUCCAACACUUUUAGAUUUUUUUUUUUUAAAAAAAGAAAAAAAGAAAAAGAAAAGAAAAGAAAAUAUUAAAUAUAUAUAUAUAUAUAUAUCCUUUCGGUUGUCUUUUCUCACCGCACACUCUGUGUCCUUUUCUUGCACCUACUGUUCAACAGUCAUUCCCGAAGCCCACUUUUCAUUUUAUAGUUUUCUAUUUUUCAUUUUGCUUUUCUUUUCUUUCUUUUGAUUGAUUUUUUUUGUUUUUUUUUUUAUUCCUUCUUUCUUCCCUUCUGGCCUUUUCACCGAACAUCCCCAUCUAUUGUCUUUCCUUCCCUUUUAUUUUUUUGGGUUUUCCUCUUUCGCUUUUUUUUACUUGCUGGUUCUCCUCUUUUCUUUGUUCUUAUUUUUUUUUAUUCUUUCCCUCCUCCCUUCUGACCUUCUUCAUUACGCUUUCAUGCCCGACUCUUUACCCAGGACAUCCUUCAACCGAGAACCCACCGGCACGACAACACCAGUGAGAGCAACCGCCAUCCUUUCCACCGCCAAAACACCACUAUCUACCCGUUAUCCACUCCGACCGGCAACGACCACCGUCGGCCACGAACACCGACAGCCAAACCAUUUUCGGAUGCAAACAUUCCCACGGCUCAAACACACAUGGUUAUUCCACGAAAAUCGUAUAGAUUCGCAAUGGAAACAUAUAAGAAAGGUACGGUCCAACAUAUAUAUGAGCAAGCGCGAAUCAGACGGAGUUUAAACUUGGGAUGCUUCUCGGUUCUCUUUGGGGCAUUUUGUCAAAUAGUCGAGGUGCAGCAGCUAAAAGGGGCAUACGGACUCACUCGAGGCUCGGAUUCGGGUAAAGAUCAACACAACAACAUGCAUGAGCAACGCUCAAGAUCCGCUAAGGGACAUAUCAAUCACAUUCGAACGGAUGUGAGUACAACAAGUAUCUUUGGGCUUCAACAAACUUGCAGAACUUAGAUAUCGUUUACACAUUUCCACAAGCAUUUGGUGUGCAUUCCUGACAUGGGGAAGUUUCCGCACUAGACAAAUCUAAAUCUCCCUACGACAUAUACUAGAAUAGCUAGCAGCUUUCAAGGAGGACCGGCUCAGACCGAAAUUCGCACGAACUAGUCGGCACGAGCUCCGGCCUAACGCUUCCCGAAAAAAACAAGUACACACAGUCGAGACAAAAGCCUACCUGGUUCAAGAGGAGGAACGCGUCAAAUAGCAACUGACGAACGAACCUCCGGCGACGACCAACCACUCUCUCGAGCUUGCACUUUCUAUCUAGGUCGCUCACUCGCUCCCUCUCCUCCUCGGUCUCUCUCUCUCUCUCUCCGUUUUUUCUUUGUCUUGGGUCCGCCCCCCCUUUUAUCUGUUCAUCCCUUGUUUUCUUUUAAAACUGCCGUUGGUUCCCCUUUUUUUUUGUCCGAAAUGUCUUUUGCUAGCCCACGAAGCCAGCUCUCUUUCUUUUCCAUCUUCAGCUCUAAUUUUCCUCGGUCAGUCCAACCUCCUUGCCUCUAUGUAUGUCUGCGGUCAGUUUUCUCCUUGGGACCGAGUUCAAUCUAUUUUCAGCUACAACAAUUGCAGGUUUUCUUGGACUUCGUCAACUGCAGGAGCUGCCACGCUGCAGCCAAGUGUUCAUUGCUUCCAUUUUUCUGAAAUCGCAGUUGUUGAUCCUCUGCAGAUCCUUCUUCGGCUUCCUCCUAUUCUGUCUUCUGUUCUGUUUCUUUCUUUUUUGCAGGUCUUCGAAGACGACACAGAGGGAAGAAGACCCUCGCUCGUGGGCUGAAAGGGAAAAAGGGGGGUUGGGUUGUUGUUGUUUCUUUCUCUCCUUUUUUUUUUACUUUUUGAUUGAUGAUUUUUUUUUGUAAAAAUAGGUGUCAACAAUUUGUUGCAAAAUCCUCAAAUUGCACAAUAUAGAUUUUGUAUCUAUUUGGCGUAACUCCAUAUCAAAAUAAAUUAUUAUUGCCACGUUCACUCUGAAAGAAUCUUUAAAAAAAACUAGAAAGAAAUAUUUAUUUCUUCACUAUUAACUAUCCACUCAUCUUUCAGAGUGAAAACUUUAGCUACCAAUUUGGCUUUAAAUUCCACAAUCUUUCUUUGAAAUUUUUUUAGUUUUGUACACUUAUUUGCAACUAAUGAACUUAUGAUCUUUAGGCAAGUAAGUUAGUUUCCAAACACUAUGAUGUUUCAUAGAUUGUAUACCGCCUUUUAUGGCAUCUAAUCACAUACUUUAUUAAGAAUAAGAAACGAUGUUUAUAAAUAUGUCAUUACAUCAACCAUACAGUAGAUAUUGUAAUCAUGCUCUCACAAAUAGACUAUAUAAUCUGAUGGUAUAACUGAUCGUCUUUCCCUAACAAAUCUCCUUAAUAAAGCUGCAACCACUUCAUUCUGCACUUGAGAGGUUUAAGAAAUUUCAUUAUAAACUAUAUCAAGAAUAGUACCUUGAAACCACCGCCCGCGGUGGCCGCGCUGGUUUGGGCUUAGUACGCAUUGCGAGGGCGGAGGAGUUCGAAACUUCGUGGUCGCGCUAACGCGCGAUUUAACUGUGGUUCUAGGUCAGCGGUGGGGGCCUAGGUCACCCCAGGGUUUACUCCAAAUAGCGGAAAGCGGCGAAAGGAAGUUCCCUGGGUACCCAAAAAAAAAAAAAUUAGUACCUUGAACCUCAACAAGUUUAGUCUAUGGCACAUGAGAUUCCAUAAUUAUCUAUAUAGGUAAAGACAAAAACAUAGUAACCUCCAUCAUACUAUUAUCUUUAAUAGUCUGAGAGCAGCUAUCCUCUAUAAUUACGCCAAUCUUUAGAAAUUUUAGAAUAUGUGAUUCCAUAAUUCUCGUACCUUCUUUAGGGUCAUAAGAUCAAUACCCCUUUAACAAUUUAGAUAAGAUACAAAAUAAUUGCGAGUGGAUCUGAAUUCCAACGCACUUAAUAUUGGAUUAGAUAACUUCACUUUUGCAUGACACCUCUAAAUUUCAUAUGAUUCAAGUAAUUUAUGUCCAAUUUAUAACUCAAAAGAAGUUUAUGAAACAACUUUGAUAAGAGAUACAUUUUGUAUGUGAAAAAAUUGCUUUCAUAAUAUCAGCCCAAAAAAAAAAAAAAACAGAUAAAUUAGUCUUACUAAUCAUACUCAUCACCAUGUUCAAUAUGGUGCAUUUAUACCUUUCGGCCAAAUCUUUUUGUCAGAAUUUUCAGGUAUAGUAAUUAAAUUACCACCCCAGAAUUUACCAAGUACUUGACAAAUCACCCUUUAAGCUAUUUUUUUUUUGGUAAAGUCACCCUUUAAGCUAUUUCGUAUUGUCAUACUUGCCAAAAUACUCACGGCCACUGUUAAACCUGACAACCUUUUAAGACUAAUUGUAAUUGUUUUAUUUUUUAUCUUGGUCAUUUUCCUUAAAUAGAAAACUUUCGGAGACAACCUUUUAAUCAUAUACGAGAUAUAUAUGUCAUUAGGACUUAAACACAAUCUUUGCAAAUAUGUUCUAAUUUCAAUAUCAGACAAGACAUAAUUUCAAGCAACUAAGGCUUCCAUUAUCUUAUAGCAGUGCAGUCCGCAGGCAAACCUCUUUUCAAGUGUUCCAGAAUGGAACGCUUCAUGGACAGUAAGCAAAUUCAAUUGCUAUUUUCUCAAGCAACAAAUCAUGUGUCCACAACUUAAAAUUUGAAGCAGUAAAAAUCUCAAUAAUAAUGAAGUAAUUAAUUACAGAAAAGGUGACUGAAAACCAAGCAAUAUAUAUAAUUAGCAUCAUGUGAGUACCGUGUAACUUGACAUACAAGUACACAUCCAGAAAUUUAUAUGCAUAAUCAUAUAAUCACCUUUGGGCAAAAUACAUGACAUGCAGUUGUACACUCCCCACAUGAUAGCGGUUAUGAGAAUAUAUUCCAAUUCUUCGUGAAUUCAUCACCUUUAGGCAUAUGAAUCACUAGAAUCAGUCACUCCUCCACCACACUAUCAUGUAUCCCUCCAUAAACUAAUACACAAUCACCUCCUUUGGGAGUAUGACUACGCAUUAGAUCAGGAGACAUCACAAUCAUCAUACGAGACCAAAAUUUGUCAAACCCAAUCAAGCGUGCCACUUUGGCGGUCACUACUCAAUUGAAUCAUUGAAAUUCUCUCAUACUAGGGAUAUAAACUUUACUCCUCACAUACACCAUAUAUAUGUGAUUUUAACUUUAGUGAUAAGGACAGCAUAUCACCAAAAUCACAUAUCAUGCUAAUUACAUUGCUUUAAUCAUUAAUAAAAAUUAAUCAUACAUAUAUAUAAAUAUAUAUACAGCGAACCUGAAAGACAGAUUCCAAUGAGAUCAUUGAUCACAGUAACACAAGAAACUUCUCAUCACAAAGAAUAAAACAUCUCUUAUGCACCCCGAUUACAUAUUACCAGAACAACAUAAAAAGAAUGCUGAUAUAAAAUAUCUCUCACAAAUUAACAUCAAUAGUAAUAUAAGGUGCACCAAAUCAACAAGCUUGACAGCUUAUCCAUUAUCACUCAUGAGUUCAUAAGCCAAAAAAAUAACUCCAAGGCCAACAACUGAUUUAUUAGCCAAUUUUUAAGUAACAAAUUAUCAUUGUAAUCAACCAGUGACCUAUUAAUUGAGUCAAACCAGAGAACUAAAUAUCUAAAAUUUAACAGUAGAUACUAUUGCUCUGCGUAAAUGUUGUCAUACUCCUUAACCAUAAAAAAAUAUUCAACUUGAUAGACAUUAACAUGUGACCAGAUGAGUUCAUGUACCAUAUGCAGUAACUUAAUUGACAUGCAUUACCCACAUACAGCAGAUAUGUUAAUCAGUACAAUCAGUUUGGUCACGAGUUCUUAAGAACGUCUAUCAUUCAAAGAUUACCAGCGUGUCAAGGAGUAUGCUUGAGUAACAAAAGUUUCAUAACCUUUACUGUUUCUCAUCAGCUCAAUACAUAGCUCAAUUACUAUUCCAUAAUGGUUGUAUCUCAUUAAGCCAACUUCAGUUCACAAUAAAGUUUAAUUUUAUUAAUGAAUCACACCAUUAUAAUGUUUAUGUGAUAACAUACCUGUAACCCAAUACUUAUAUUUCCAAAAUCACAAAAAAUAUAAGAAAAAUACGCAAAAAUAUACUAAAAAUACACGUAUUUAGGGUUCCAUAUGUAUUUUCACAUCCAUAAAAUUAUCAAACAUGUAAAAUAAAUACACCACGACAUAGAGGAUGAUCAUACGAACCUAACGCCACCAUCCACGCGCCGAACGAAGGCUCCACGCGCCCACACGCGCCGCCUGAGUGCGCGGCGUGUGAAGCUCACGCGCGGCCUCCGGCGAUGCGCCGCCGACUGUCUUGCUCGUCUCAUCGAGCCCAAUCCGAAUUUAUGAUUUUAUUUUAUUUUUAUUGAACAAAAAAUUUCGAAAAUCACAAAUUAGGGCAAAAACUUUAUGCGUUCAAGUUCUAGGGUUAUGGUGGCUCUGAUAUCACAUGUUGGACGCAAAUUGUGUAAUCCCAAGAUUUUCAUAACUAGACAAAAACAUGCAUAAUUGAGUAGAAAUAUUAGCGCACCUGUUUUGGGAUCCAUUGUUCUUGAAACGGAAGCAGAAACACAAUAUUCCACGCACAAGUCCUUCUCCUCUAUUGCCCUCCGUAUCACUGGCUCAAUGAGGCGGCCCCCCUCACGUGUAGCGUUAGGUAAAUGCCCCUUAGCUGAGGAUACAGGUGAGAAUUAGGGUUAGAGGAGAGACUUGAGCACUAUUUAUAGAGUUUCCAGCCAGUCCCCCUCAUUACGGGCCAGGCUCAACUCGGCCCACACUAGCCAGCCCAUAUUAAACUAAUUAAGAAACAUUCUAUCUCACUUUAGACCAACCAUGUUUUACGGUAACCGUAAAAACAGUAAAUUACAAUAUCAAUUAAUUUAGUCCACAUUAGGAAAACUCUUACACGGUUUACCAAAUCAAACCACACUAUGUUCUUUUUGGUAACUUUUACUCCAUCCUAUUUUUCAAUGCAAGUUGAGCUGCUCACUUCCUUCGGUUUUAUUGGCAAAUUGUGCGGCAAGCCAGACUCUGUUUUUCUGCUUAGCGCGUUCCUUCCCCCUCAACAAAAAAGAGUCCCUCUAAAAUCUAUGGCAUGGACAAAUAUGUGCACUAUUUGGUGGUUUAAAUCAGCACCUAACCUAGCUUUUCACCACAUGUCAUUUUCUAUUGUCUUUAUUAGGAAGCAGCCUUCCAGGAGUUGGUAUUGUUCUAUGCUGAAGAAGUGGUCGAAACUGAUGUUCAAGGUGAAUCUAAGUUCAAAUCAUUGGAUGUAUAGAUCUACGAGAGAAUCCCUAUUUGAGCUUUGCCAUUAAAUUCCGUAUGAUAUCUGACAUUACCGUGCUUGUCGUCCAUUCGAGGUAUCUUCAGACAUUGUAGAUAAGUUGGCGGUGGCUUGUUUGUCUUCGUCCUUUCUUGCCUUUUCAAUUAGUUAAAAUUAUUUCUCAAGUCUUGGCAGCUCUUCCCUCAAGUGAGCAGUUCUCUUAAUGUUAUUCUUCCUACUUGGAUUAGUCAUAAUGUCAUUCCAUUUCGGGCUUUUCGUUGCAAGUUCAUCACUGUAGAUAUGAGAAUGAUCCUACUACCUUUCCUGUGUUGGCGAUUUUUUGACUAUUAACAGUCUGAAUGAUAUCUCAAUUUUACUUUUGGCAGAUUAGAUUCAUUGACAACACAGAUUUAUUAUCCUAUUGAAGAUGGAACACAAUCAGACUUGACCUACAACCUCCGGUGUAUGGGGAGGCCACGAGAGACUUGUAAGAAUCACCGUGAUACACAUGAUAUCAUUAAUUAAUGAUUUAAUAAUUUUUUGAAUGCUAUAUAAAAAACAUUGGUCGUAAGAAAGUGCAACUCAAUGCAACUCUUAUGAAAAGGUGUAAUUUUUAUUAGAAUGUGUAAUACUUAUGAAAAUGUGUGACUCUUAUGAAGAUACAAUAUGCUUUGAUGGAAGGCACUUAUUGAUAAUUUAUAAAAAUAAUAAUAAUAAUAAUAAAUAAUAAUAAAAAAGUCUAAUCCUUUCUCCACCCAAGACAACAAAAGUUGAUUCUGCAUUCGUCUAGGAGAGUGAAUGUAGACUUAAUAUAAGCUAAAUCACUGAAUGUGUUUACAAUAUCUAUUAUCUCUUCAUUCAUUUUAUUAUCUCUUAAUAGAAUUACUUGCAUUUGCUAUUGUUAAACUGAUUUUGUAUCUACCAGAGUUUAAUAUGAAGUAUUCCUAAUAAUUGUCAAAAUCAUUUAAAAAAAUUAUCCAUUUAAUUUGUAUUGUUAGCCUCAACACAUUUAUACAAAUUAAAUAAAGAAAAAAAAAAGGGAAUUCCUAACCUUUAUCGUUCAACAUAAACAACUGUUUUGUUGUAAAAUAAUGUGUAAGCUAAUAGACCGCGCAAUUCACUAUGGCGUGUAUAAGCCGCAAUUAUCAAGGUAUUCUUACCAAUGUCUACACUUGAGGAUUUAGAGCGGUUUCGGCUUCUCAAGCGGAAGUAUAGGCGCUCACUUUUGCUCUUCAUUAUCUGAUGCACCAAGGCCUCAAUAUGGAAAAUCUUAUCAUUGAAUCGGACUGCUUGCUCUUGAUCGAUAUAGUUCAAGCGAAACGGAAGCCACCGUGGGAAGAACGUGCGAUGUUCGCUGAGAUUGAAGACUUGAAAUCCCGUUACCCUAAUUUGCAGCUGCUGCAUUGUAAAAGGGAGGCUAAUGGAGUUGCCGAUUGGGCUGCUAAAGCCCACAAUAGAUCUGAUCUAGCCCAUAACUGGAAUAUAUUUCCUCCGUUUAUUUUGCAAAGUUUGGUAGCCGCCAAAGCCAUAGCUUCUGGUUGUAAUACCACUCCUUUAUGUAAUGUUGAAAGUACGUAAUGAAAUAUCUAUCUUUCUGACCAAAAAAAAAAAAUAAGGAGAUGAAAUUGCAGAGAACUCAAUAAAGGACAAUGAGGACAUUGGAAAUUAAGGCAGUUCUGUCUAAGUGUUGCUAUCUAGAGACUCAACCAUGAAGGAAAUUCACUAUGAAUUUCGAGAAUUACAAAAUUAUAAUCACUCAAUUGCUAAAGUCUUUGGCAAUGUCAGAUUAGUCUCAAAACAAACUCACAAAAUGUUAUCUCACAAUAUCUCAUAAAGAGUUCAUUAGAAAACUCAUAAAGAGGAAAUCUCAACACUCUUAUUUGCUUUCAAUAGGUCAAAAAUGAAAUUUAAACCUCGCGUGUUUGACGUCGGUCCAAGACCCGAGCAUUGGGCACUUCCCCCCGAACGUAAGCACGCGUUUGAGAUGAGGAAAUGCGUAUGUUGGUGGUGUGAAAAGACAAGGACCCAUAUUGGAUGUCAAAAGAAAGAUGAAAUUGAUAUUGGUAGUAUGAGUACCUAGAGGGGGUGAAUAGGUAUAUAAAGGAUUUUUCUUCAACAAUUGCACAAUACUAGACAGUUGAAGGAAACGAUAAUCAAAGUAAGACUGAGAGAAGAGAAAAUUGAACAAGCGGUUUAUAGUGAUUCGGCUUAUAUCAAGCCUACGUCCACUCUUCUUCACUGACAGCCUAUUGGCUAGAUUCCACUAUGAACAAAAGAGAAGUUACAGCACAGCUUUGCCUUGAUUCCAUAGUGUAGAUGUUCUACCACACUUCCUCAAGAUUUCUCACAAAUAUAGACUCUUUCUUUCGUAUACAAGUGUUCGCUCAAAGGAUUUGUCUAAACAAAAAGGAGCUUCAGACUUUGGAAUUCUUCUAUCGCGCACACCUUGAACAACUAAGACAGUCUUCCUUAUAUACUCCUUUAUGCCAUCAUACCCGUUGGCACUUACCAAAGGAAUUCCUCCAAUCUACCCGUUGGACGAAAUCAAUUAGGAAGAUUGUUCAAGCUAUUAAAGGAACGUGUUGAUAGCCCAUCAAUCAUGUUCGCCCAUACAAUCAAGAUCUCGGUUUCCAUAAGCAGAACCUUCCAAUAAUAUUUAGGCAAUCACCGGAUCUUCAAUUUAUCGAGUCAAUCUUCGAUCAAUCAAAGGACUCCGUUUAUCUUCUCCAGCCACGAGAUCUUCUCCAGUUGAUAAGGUCAAAUCCUUAACGAAACAUCCAAUUCUGGAUAACCUUUCUUCAAUGGAUUAGAGACUGUUAAUGAGGAUAGACUUUGAGUCUUGAGUCUGGCUGUCCGGAGGUCUUCAGACUUUAAAUAGCAGAGUCUGCAAGCCUUCAGACUAGAUUGAUAGAAACGUUUUGUCAACUUCAGAACACUUCAAGAAGAUUUCUCCAACAGAAAUAAUCAAUAAUUUCUAAUUGACCGACAACUUAAUGAAUUGUAUUUCUUAGCGAAGAUAGGUUUAACUAAAUUGUCAAUAGGCUUAAAUUUUGGGCUUCCUCUUGGAUUUUUGUAUUAUGAAGGUAGCGCAUUUUUACGGCACUUCGAUAUAAUAGCCAAUGAUGAUUAAUCAAUGGCAAUUCAAAGUGCAUUGGUAUCCUGGAUUAUAUAAGGAAUCUCACGGAUCUUCGUGAUUAUCAAGUACGUAUUGCCAUCACGAUUAGGCCCAUGAGGAGACCAUGGGUGCAUGUUUGCAUCGAUUGGCAAUGAUUGGAGAUUUGGGUCAAAAUUUGUCGAUGCAAAGGAACAUUGGACUUGGAUUGAGGGGAAUUGGCCCAAUGUGGUAGAAACUCACAUGUGAGGGGGAAACUGUUAAGUGCUCAAGUGAGUGGUAUGAAAAUAAAAUAGUCCCAUAUUAAACGUCCAAAGUUAAAAUAAGCAAUUGAUAAUACCUAAUUAAGGAGGACCUUUCUUAUUUAUGAAGCCGGUCUAAUGAAAUGCCAUAAGAGGAACUCAAUCACUAAAUUGAUUCAUUAAAAUAAAUAAUUACACCCUCAUCUAUGUAUAUGCAUGUUAAUGGAUCUAAAAGCAGUCAUAAUAGAAUUUUUAUAUAGAUAAAAUGGACUAUAUCUACAUAUGAUAAAUAAAAGAACUACUUUGCCUCGUGUAUCAUUAAGAGGAUGAGAGAAAAGAGUAGGUCACUAAAGAACGACAAUAAAAUUAAAAUGAAUAAAUAUCUGCGAAUCUUGCAUCGGUACCUAUUCUAAUUAAAAGGGCAAAAUGACAAACAAUUUUUACUCGAUACCAGAAGAAAAGGAAUAGAAAAAAAAUGUGUAAGCGCUCCAAUGCUUUCAGCCACUUUGUAUUUGACCAUUUCCAUUUAUUUCAACACCAAAUUAGAUUACAUAACAAUAAAUUAUGGAUACACAGUUAUCUUUGUAAUAAUGAGCUGUUACACUACUUAAGCCCAUUAUUACGUUAGCCUUAGCACAUAUAUUAUUUAAGGAGAAGUUCUUCUUUCCUUCUUCGUUAAUAACAAACGAGAAGGACCAAGAACAUUAUAAGGAAAGAACAGUGAACAUGCACGAGGAGAAGAAAGAAAGGAAAAACCUAACCAAGGGAACUUGAUUGCCUAUGUCACAGGCGUUAAAUUUGACCAUAGUUAGACACCAAGUAUUAGAUCAAUCCAUGGAAUGGAUCAUUAACAUUUGACUUGUUUGAGAUUAAUCAAUUGAAUAUAUGGUCGACUUGUUAUUGUGAGUUGAUAUUGUUGAUUGAUCUUAUUUGUAAAAAGUUUCAUUGGAAAGAUAUUAUCCACUUUUUGAUAUUUUACUUAUAUCUUAUACUGGAUUUGGGUUGUGAGUUUAUGGUAUUAAUUUAUAAUAAUGUGCAUAUAAAAGAUGUAUUACUUAUUGGGCUGUGAUUGCUCAUUUUAUUCAUCUUACUUGCUUUUCAGGUUCUUCAACUAGCCAUAAGCAAGUAAAAUGAGAGCAUUUACAUUAU